AGAGCAAGCAACAGCAAAGAAAGAAUUCAUAGAAAGCCUGAAGCUGAUAGAAAAGGAGCUUGGGGACAAGCCUUACUUUGGAGGAGAAAGUUUUGGAUAUGUGGAUGUUGCAUUCAUUCCGUUUUAUAGCUGGUUUUAUGCUUAUGAGAAGUGUGGGAACUUCAGCAUUGAAGCAGAGUGUCCCAAACUAAUAGCAUGGGCUAAAAGGUGCAUGCAAAAGGAGAGUGUAUUCAAGUCCCUUCCUGACCAACAAAAAGUCUAUGAUUUUAUCCUGCAGAUGAAGAAACAUUUCGGAAUUGUGUAAUCCCAGCCGUUGUUUAUGAUUUUAAAUAAAAUGGGGACAUUUAUGUUAUGCCUGCCCUGUUGACAGUUCUUCUAUUUUUCCUCUUUCAAUCGCUUAGAUGGUUUGGGACUUGUCAUUUGCAGUAUGGAGUUUUUAAAUAAAAAAGUAAUCAGUCCUAUACACUUACUCUUAUAAAGAAGAGGGUAAAUUAUACUCUUAACUUUAAUGUAAUUUCAAUUUAGUCAUUUAAUUUUUAAAAAAUAAUAAAUUAAUUUUUUAAUUAUUUUCUAUUACAGACAAAAUGGAAAGUUGAUAUGUUAUUUAAUUGACUACGUUAGCAUUCUAAUUGUUGUUUAAAUAAUCCUAAUUUAAGAAAAGAAAAAUAAAGAGAAUAAUCCUAAUUUAAGAAAAGAAAAAUAAAGAGAAGAAUAAGAGAAGAAAUAAAGAUACCUAGAGGUGUGCAUGGGCUGGGUCGGGCUGGAGGCUCGCUCGAAAUGUGGGAGGGUUUGGACAAAAAUAUAGGCCCAAAAAAUGGGCUUGGGCAAAAAAAUAAGGUCCAUUUAAAAAAUAAGUUAGGUUUCGGGUAAAGCAUUUUUGGCCAGGGCUCGGCUCUGCCCGGCCUGAAUUCACUACAUGAUAACUUUUUUAAUAUUAUUUUUUUAUUAUUUUCUCUUUAUUUUGCUACUAUUUUACUAUUAUGUUGAUACUAUUAUGUUGUUAUUAUUUAGAUAUUGUAUAAAACUUAUUUUAUUAUUAAUUUUUUAUUAUUUUAAAGACAUUUGUUAAUUUUGUUAUUAUUUUAGAAUAUUUGCUUGUUAAGUUGUAUUUAUUUUAGUGUUAUUUAAGUAUACAUAUUUUUUAAAAUUUAUUUUUAAUUUGUUGAGAAAUAUUUAUUUGAUGUUUUUAGUAUUUUUUAUGGUUUAUAUAUAUUUUAAAAUUAUAUAAAAAAAUAAAAAUUAAUAUGGGUAGGAAGGGUCGGGCUGGAGUUUUAACAUUUUUAUUCGGGUUGGGCUUGGGCAAAAUUUUAAGCCCAUUUUUCUAGUCGGGCCAGGCCCGAGCUUAGCAAACGAGCCUAAAUUUUUAGUUGGGCCCAACUCGGCCCAUGCACACCUCUAAAGAUACCCUAGUUAUGGUUGUUUUGUUCCUCUAAUGUGGAGCUACCAUCCAGUUUGUUGUUGUCCCUUUUUUCUUCUUUUUUUCUCUUCUCUUUUUUUUUCUUAACUCUAGUCACCACCUUUCAUGGCCUUCUUCAGCCAACCGUCUCACUAAAUGGCUUAUCUUUGCCUCUUUUCAAAUGUCAUUUUAGAUUUCUCAAUAGGCAUUCAAAAUCCUGAGAUUAAGACCUUAAAGUUUUGAACAAGGUUUCAACGAAUUUUCGCCAUCCAUCGUCGAACUAUCACCAUAUUCUAGCCACAAUUCUUCUUCAACCAACCAUGACUCUUGACCGCUCGAAUCAUCGAACUAGUGGUUCAAGUUCUCUAACUCGUAAAACCCGAUAUGGGUGUGGUUUCUUCUCUUUUGAUUCUUAUUCCUUUUUAGGUUUUUUUUUUACUUCUCUCUUUUGAUGUAGGCCAAUUUGGGAUUCUUAUUCUCUUUUUUGCUGGUUUGAUUUUGGAUGCUUGCUAUUUUGUAUUUUUGUUUUUGGUUGGAAUUGCACAGGUCUAGAUUGUUUAGGGGUUGGGAUUUGGUUAUGGUGGUGAUGUCUUGGCAAAUGAGUGAUACUGAGUGAUGUCGGUGUGGUAAUUAAAUGAUGGCGGGCUUGUGAAGGUGGCCAAUGUCAAGGGUGGUGGUGAGGGAGUCGAGAAUGAUGAAGAAAAAUGAUGAACAAGCCCACUGUUUAACUGUUGCAUGUGAGAGGGAUGACAAGAAAAUGGUGGUGGUGAGGGAGCCGAAAGGGAUGAAGAAAAAUGGUGAAAAAGCCCUUCUCCUUUUCUCUUUCUGUUUUUUUUAAUGGUGGUAUAUGAGAGGGAUAACAAAAAAAAUGUCCAACAUGGCAAGUUGACUGGUCCCAUAGCUAGUUAACUGCCACGUCACCUAUCCAAUUAGGCCUAUAAUAGAGAACGUUAAUGGGUGACUGAUUUGUCACUUUUCGAUAACGUUAGUGACUGAUGGGCAUCGAAACCACCAAAUAUAAAUUUCCAACGCUCUAACUGAAUUAAAUAGUAAUAUAAAGAAGUAGGGUCGAUCCCACAGGGACUGGGAUUCCUAAUAUUAUUUUUAUGUGACCAGCUUCUAAAGUUGUGGCAGUUGUCGUGCACACAACUUGUCACGUGCUGGACUAAAAAAUAAAUCAAUGGGGAUUUUAGAUGAUAAAGGUGAAAAAAAGAAUAGAAUGAAAUAAUAAUAAAACAAUAAUUGAAAUAUAAAAUCAAAUAAUUGAAAUUAAAUUGGUAAAUAAAAUCAACAAAUUGUUAGAUUUAGAAUCAGUAAUUCUAGUCUCGAAGUGAUCAUUGAAAGUGGAUAUUUCCUUCCAAACAAUAAGUUGGUUAUAGUGACCAAAGCCACCUCAACCGCCAACUCCUUAUUGUGUAGUUGAUUUCGGUAUGACCUGCAAACCAACCUUUAUCAAUUAUCUAACCACAUAACACGUAUUCGCAAUUUAAGAUCUCGACAGUCUUGCAAUCUAGAAGAGCCCAAUUCUAAUUAACUGCCUCAACAGCGUGGGUCAUUUAAAUUCGAUCACUAUCUCUCUUGACGAAGGUCCAACUAGCCCUUAUCCACCUGGACACGCCAAUUUGUUCGCGGGAACUUAAACGAAGCAGUUGACCGUCUCGUUUUUCUAACUGUACGCCAAACUACUCCAACUCGACGUGCACUUUUUGAAUUGAAAUAGAAUUCACUUUAAGGGACGAUUGUGACUAUCUCAUAUUCCAAAGAUAUAAUGAAUAUCGUGUUGUAAGGUUUUAGCACAGGUUCACAUCUCACAAUUUUCAAUCAGAAUGAUAACCUGUUUAAGGCUAAAUGGGGAUUAGUUGAGCAUGAAAAUAAGCAUACUCAAUUGGGGCUUAAAAGUAGAUUUUAAUAGAAGAUAAUAAGUGAAGAAAGGAAAGGACCAAGAGGGCAAUUGCACCAACAAAUAAAAAAGAACAGAAAUGGAAAAAUGCUCAAUUUCUUUUCACACAGGAAUAAGCUAAUGAUUUUUUUUUAUUCAAGUUUUUUCCGUUACAUCUUUAUGCAACAAAUACAAGGUUUUUUAUAGACCUCUCAAGAGCUAAUUUUAGCAUGAUUUUCUCCUAAAAUCAUGUUCAACGACCAACGCAAAAUCAAUUUUUUUUUCUAAAAAUAGGAUUUGAAAAAGUCAAAAAUUAGAUUUUUUUAUCAACCCAAAAAUUGCAAUUUUCAAUUCAACCCCUUGUCUUGCUUUUUGUUCCAGUUUAGCUCGAUUUUGCUUAUUUUUGAACAUCGACACUCUAAUUUCGUCUCUGAUAAAAUUUAAGUAAGAAAUCAUAAACUUAGUAGCAUUCUGUUAAAAAAUUUACCAAAAAUAGGUACAUUAAACAUAAGAAAUUAGCUUUCUAUCAAAUUCCCCCUACUUAGUUGAUGCUUGUCCUCAAGCAUGUUGUAUAUUCUCAUACUAUAAAUUAUUCAAUAACUUUGUUCCAAAAUCAAGUCUCAUCCAACAGCUAUGCAUAAUGUAAAUAAUUUAGGUGUUAGCAUGAAUAAGUACUUACUUAGUUUAACCAACAAGCAUUUAUAAAAUUUUAACAAUGUGUAAAAUCAACCAUUUCACUAAAUUAAAGCUCAAUCAAACUUGCAAGGCAAUUGUUCUUGAUCAAAUUAUUUAACAAAUUUGGGACAUAGUCAAAUCUUUUUAUGCAAGAUGAGAUGACAACUCAAAAACCUCACCCAGAUUACUUAAUUCAAUAUGUCUCUAAACGAAUUAUUUUCCCUACUCAUGGCAACCCAGUUAGUGAAGUGUUUGCAUGUUUCGAUUCCUCAUUCAAAUUUUUUGACGUGAGGUAAGAUGAUAACCCAAACACCUCAUCCUGGUUACUCAAGUUGGUUACAUUUUCGAAAUCUUCACCAUAACAAAUCCAUCAACGGAGUAGUAUAUACAUACAGUUUUUAUUUAUAUACUUUUUAUAUAUAUAUACUUUUUUAAUUCUUUAUAUUUUUUAUUUUGUUUUUUUAGUAACAUAAAAUAAAAUGAAUAAAAUGAGAUACAAGUACUUUUAUUAAGCAAGUUUAAAGAACUAACAAUUUUCAUGAGAUGUUGAUUUUACCACAAUAUUUUCAAUUCUAUAAAACACUUGCCAAUCAAACUAAGCAAUAAGCAAUUAUUCAUGAAUCACCCAAUCAUUUGAAUUAACUAAGCAUAGCAAUUAAAGGCUAAAUUUCAAAUAAACUAAUGAAUGAUCUUAGUAUAAAAAAAUAAACACGUGCAAUGAAAAGCAAAUAAUAGCAUGUCAUAUCUUACGAAUGUGCAAUAAUAAAAAAGGGAAGAAAGAGAAAGGUCAAGUGCACACCCCUUACAUGUUUAAUUUGAUGAAGGGUGGUUUCAGCAGUCCAAGUUGGUUCUUGCCAAUUCGGUCCUGGGUGUAUGUUUUAGUAAAUGACAACAUUGAAAUUUGACAAGGCGUGCCUACACCAUAGAAGAAAUUCAUUUUUAAUUUUUAAAACCUCAACCACAUAAUGACUUAUCACGUAAGCACGUUCUGAAAACAUUUUUCGCCAUUUUUAGCUUGUCGAUUCCACCAUUGUUCCUAGAAAACAACACAUUAAAAAAGAUUAUAUGAUAAUCUUAUUAUUUUUAUUUCUAAUGUAAAUUAAAUCAAAUUCAAAAUUAAAAUAAAUUAAAACAAAUAUUUGGUUGCCUCCCAAAGAGUAUUUUUGUUUAAUGUCGUUAGCUCGAUGACUUGAAUUUUAUCCUUUUGGCUCAUUGAGAAUUAACUCUUCCUCUACGUCCAUUUGGAAGUUCUCGUAAAAAGGUUUCCACCUUUACCUAUUGACUUUGAAGCACUUCUCGGAUUUCUCGCUCUUAAUUUCGAUUGCACCAUAAGAAAACAAUUGAGUAAUAACGUAAGGACCUAGCUAUUUGGUUCGAAGUUUACCUGCAAAAAUCCUUAGUCUGAGAUCAUAAAGCAACACUUUUUGUCCUACUAAAAAUCAUUUACGGGAUAUCUUUUGAUCAAGAAAUGCCUUGGUAUUGUCUUUAUAAAUUUGGGCAUUUUCAAAUCCAUCAUGCCGGAUUUCUUCGAGCUCUUGGAUGUGUAAUUUUUUAUAUUCUCUUGUUGAAUUUUUAAUUACAGUUAUGUCGAUUUUCUUAGGCACUACGUGAACUAGGUAUCCCAAUUACUGUCUGAAAUUAGGUAUAUCCUCCCGAUGUCUAGUGAUUUUUGAAUUUCGACCUCCAUCAUCGGUGGAUUGAGACGUCUUUGAUAUGCUCCAUUUGGGUUUACAAAAUAGAAGGUAGGAGUUUAGUUUGCGAAAGAGACAAUUCAAAAUUUUUACCUGGACUUCUAGGAAAUUGUAGUGUCUCCAUGUGAAUGAUAGCUUCACGUUUUAGUUUUUUUAUUGUUAAUAAUUCUUCUAUUUUUCCAUAACAUCAAGAUCUAAACUCAUGCAAGGCUCAAUUUGUAAUUCAUCCUCUUUAUGAUAUUCAAAAUACAAAUUUGUCAGAGGUUCAAUUAUAUCAACACUAGAGACAUUUGACAUUGCACUGGGGAGACCCAUGGCCUCAUAAACAUUGCGCUUGACCACUUCACCGUCGAAUUCCAUAGUGAGUGUUCCAUUUCGAACAUCAAUUUUCGUUCAUGCGGUGCUUAAAAAUGGUCUCCCAAGUCAGAUAUCAGAAGAAAUUUUCAAGUUAUCAUCCUCCAUGUCAACGAUGUAAAAAUCUAUAGGAAAGAUUAGUUUAUUUACUUUGACAAGGACAUUUUCCAACACCUCUUUCGAAUACACAACUGACCUAUCUGCCAAUUGAAUGAUCACUCGUGUUUAGUAAUUUAAAAAUAGAUAAAGGCAUAAAGUUAAUAGAUGCACCUAAAUCACACAUGGCCUUUUUAAUGCUAACAUUACCUAUUUUCCAAGAUAUAGCAAACAUACAUUGGUCCUUACACUUAGGCGAAAUUUUCUUUUAUAAAACCACAAAGGCAUUUUCUCCUACACCUAUUAUUUCAUUACCUAUGAGCUUCUUCCUGCCAGUGUAUAAUUCUUUUAAGAAUUUCGUAUAACAUAGAACUUGCUUUAUCGCAUUAAGUAGGGGUAUGUUAAUUUCAACUUUCUGAAACAUCUCUAGAAUUUCUUUCUCUUCUCGCUCAUUUUUACACUAGGCUAGCCUUCCAAGAAAUAAAGGUGGUACCAUGAAUGGAUUUUAUAGUGUCGACUCCGUAGUAGCUGCUGGAUCAAGCUUCUAUUCUUUUCGUCUAGUUUCAUAAUCACGACUCUUGCAAGGUGCUGGCUUCAAAACUGUUCCAUUUCUUAAUGUCAUAGCACUUUCAUUUUAUCGUGGAUUUAGCUCUCUUUUUUUACGACAACUUCCUUGGGAUUCCAAUCUACUAAUCAUAAGCGCAAGCUUACUUAUUUGCUAAUCUAUUUCUUGAGGUGCACUUUAGUCUUCUAUUGGAACUUUUCAGUACUAGCAACUAAUCUCUCCACUACAACCUCAAAAGAUGUCUUUGGGGGUUAAAAUUGUUGAGUCGUUAGUGGCAUUGGCUGAUAAGGUUUGUUGUAAUGAGGAUUCGAUCAAUAACUCAGAUUUGGGUGAUCUCCUCACCCCGUAUUAUAAGUGUUUGAAUGUGGAUCAUAUCGCCUUUGGGGUGGCCUUGGAAAGUUUCCAGCGGUAUUUACUCGUGCUGUUGUAUCCUCGUGCAAAAUUAAACAUGAUUCUGUUAGAUGAUCAUACAUGGCACAAAUCCAGUACAACCGAGCUGUAUUCAUCUUUCCUACAAGUAAAUUUUGAACUACAUUAGUGAGCUUGUCAUUUUUAUCUUUUAAUGUUAGAGUAUUUAGCCCAUUAACUCAUCUUGUAGGUUCUGUAGUUGGUCAAAAUUGUUGGGAAUUCAUAACCGUGGUUGAAAUAAAUUCCCUUGCUCUUUGAGGAGUCAUGUUAACAAGUGCUCCUCCACUGGCGGCAUCAAUCAUCUUCAUUUCCAUAAGGAGUAACCCCUCAUAGAAAUAUUAAAAAAGUGAUUGUUCAGUUAGGUCAUGUUGUGGGAAACUUGUACACAACUUAUUGUAUAGCUCCUAAUAGUCAUAGAGUGGUUCGGUCUCCUUUUGUCGUAUUCCGACAAAAUCUCUCCUUAAUUCAGUUGCCCAAAUUGUUGGAAAGAAUCUGUCAAGAAACAAGCGAGACAUGUUAGACCAUGUAUUAACUAAUCCUGAAGGUAAAUAAAACAAUCACUCUCUAGAAGAGUCGAUUAACGAGAAAGGAAAAGUUUGAAGUUUGAUUUGAUCUUCAGUUACUCCCUAAGGUUUCAUACUUAAGCAAACGAUGUAGAAUUCCUUAAUAUUAGUGUGGUGAUUCUCAUUUUAUGAAUCGCGAAAAGUGGGCAAUAGAUGAAUUAAGCUAGAUUUUAAUUCAAACAGUGUUCCCCAUGUCAGAUAAGUUAUGCACAACAGUUAUUGCUUAUCUCGUGCUACAGCGAGUUGUUGAAUGGUUUGAUCUGUCAUUUCUUCUAGUUCACUGAGUGUAUUGUAAAUGUAUUCCAUGUAAGACAGUGUUUCGUAUUCGAAUUCUUUCGCUUAUGGUCAUUUUUCGCGUCGAAUAGCUUCUCUUCGCAGUGAUCGAGCUAACUUCUCAAUUUCUAGUUCAAAUUUUAAGGUCUCCAGUUAUGUCCUAGUCAUAAUUAAAAGAAAUGAAAUUAGAAUUAUUUUUCAAGUCACCGGCAACGGCGCCAAAAUUUGAUAGGCGUCGAAACCACCAAAUAUAAAUUUUCUACGCUCUAAUUGAAUUAAACAGUAGUAUAGAGAACUAGGGUCGAUCCUACAAGGACUGGGAUUCCUAAUAUCAAUUUUACGUGACCAGAUUCCAAAGUUGCAGUAGCUGUCGUGCCUACUACUUGUCGCGUGUUGAACUAAAAAUUAAAUCAAUGGGGAUUUUAGAUGAUAAAGGUAAAAAAAUGAAUAGAAUGAAAUAAUAACAGAAUGAUAAUUGCAACAUAAAAUUAAAUAAUUGAAAUUAAAUUGGUAAAUAAAAUCUAUGAAUUCUUAGCCGUAGAAUCGGUAAUUCCAAUCUCGAUUUGAUCAUUGAAAGUGGAUUUUUCCUUCUAAUCGACAAUCUGGUUAUAGCGACCAAGGACGCCUUAACCGCCAACUCCUCAUUGUGUAGUUGAUUACGGUACGACCUGCAAACCAACCCUUACUGACUAUCUAACCAUGUGACACGCAUCCGCAAUUUAAUAUUCCGACAGCCUUGCAAUCUAGAAGAGCGCAACUUGAAUUAACGACCUCAAUUGCGUAGGACUUUUAAAUUUGAUCACUAUCUCCCUUGAUAGAGGUUCAAUUGGCCCUUAUCCACCAAAACACGCUAAUUUGUUCGUGGGAACUCGAAAUCGGUAGACGACUGUCUCAUUUUCCCAAUUGUACACCAAACUACUCCAACCCAACGUGCACUUUUUAGGUGGAAAUAGAAUUAACUUUAAGGGACAAUUGUGACUAUCUCAUAUUCCGAAGAGAUAAUGACUAUCGUGUUGUAAGGUUUUAGCGCAGGUUCAUAUCUCAUGAUUAUUAAACAAAAUGAUAAUCGGCCUAAGGCUAAAUGGGGAUUAGUUGAGCAUGAAAUUAUUAUACUCGAUUGGGUUUAAAAGUAGAUUUUAAUAGAAGAUAAUAGAUGAAGAAGAGAAAGGACUAAGAGGACAAUUGCACCAAAAUAUAAAAAAGAAUAGAAAUGGCAAAAUGCUCAAUUGCUUUUCACGAAUGAGCUAAUGGUUUUUUUUAUUCAAGUGUUUUUCGAUACAACUUUAUGCCACAAAUACAAGGCUUUUUAUACACCUAUCAAGAGCUAAUUUUAGCAUGAUUUUCUCCUAAAAACAUGUUUAAUAACCAACACAAAAUCCUUUUUUUUUCUAAAAAUAGGAUUUGAAAAAGUCAAAAAUGAGAUUUUUUUAUCAACCAAAAAUAAUCUUGAAAAUUUCAAUUCAGCUCCUUGUCUUGUUUUUUGUUUAAGUUUAGCCCGAUUUUGCUUAUUUUUGAACUUCAGCACUCCAAUUGCGUCACUGAUAAAAUUUAAGCAAAAAGUCACAAACUUAAUAGCAUUCUAUUAAAAAUUUUACCAAAAAUAGGUACAUUAAACACACUAAAUUAGCUUGCUAUCAAUGACUGAUUUGUUAUUUUUUGAAAGUUGAAUGACUGAAUUGAAAAUAGAGUGACUGUUAGUGUAAUUUACCCUACAAAAGAUAAUUUUAAUAGUCCACUUGUUUGCAUGUAAAAUAUUUUAAUUGUUUAACUGUGCUUGUUUGGUGGAAAAUGAAUUACCAAAGGAAAUCAUUCUUCAAAAAAAAUGGUAAAAUCAAGAAUUUUUUUUAAGGAAAAUGUUUUACCAUUUUUUUUUUCUGUAUGACAUUUUUUUAAAAUUAAUAAGGUUUUGCUCCCUGUUUUAAUUGUCGAAGAAACAAAAAGGGGAAGCUUUUACAGUAACAAAGGGAAAGCUCUCUUCACUAUCGAAGAAAACAGUCCCUUAUAUUCUAAUUUUAUAUUUGUUACAAUUUAGCCCUUAAAAUUAAAAUUUUUACUAUUCUACAAUUUAAUUCCUCAAAAACAGAUUUUCUUAUUCUAUAGUUUAGUCCUAAACCUCAUUUUUUACAGUUUUGCAAAACAAUCCAUUUUCUAAAAUUUCCAAGUUUUAUAAUUUAGUCCUUACAAAUAAAUUGUCAAAAUUUUCAAAAAUUAGUCAUUGAUUUUUGAAUAGUUAAACUUUCAUAUUCUAUUUUUUAGAAUUGUAAAUUCUCAAAUAAUGUAAAUUAGUCCUAAAACUAAAGUUUUGAAAUCUUUACAAUUUAACCCCUAUAGUUUCAAACUUUACUAUUUUAUUCUCAACUUUCCAAAUUUUCAUAUUUCAUAAUCAUAAAAUUUAGUCGCUACAUCAAUAUUUCAGAUUUCACUACUCAAACCCUUAGAAUUAAAAAAUUUUACAAUUUGGUCCUUACUUCGAUUUUUAUUAAAUUAAAUCAUUUUUCAACUUACUCAUCCAAAUAAUAUUCAAAAUAAAUAUUUACCACUUUCAACUUAAUUAAUAUAAAUUUAUAUUCUCUAAUGUAAGAAAUUAACAAUUACGCUUAAUUAAGUAAAUUAAGAUUGAUUAAAACUAAAACAUGAUUAAUUAAAAUAUAAAUAAGUUUUAUGAAAUAAACUCAAUUAAACAAUGAAAAGAUAAUAAAAUCUCAAAUAUAUACUUUUUUUAUUGAAAACGGUUUUUAUGAAAUAUUUUCAAGAAAUUUACCAAACAGCAGAAAAUAUUUUACACAGAUUCACCUAAAUACCAAAAAACUAAGUCAUUUUCUAGAAAUCAUUUUUCGGAAGCAAUUUUUGGUGAAACAAUCACAACCUUAAUUAAUAUAUUUGCGGUUAUAAUGAUAAGUUCCUCUUUUUUUUCAUUUUUAUUAAUUUGAUUUUUUAUUUUUUAGUUCAAUUUGAAUUUUUUUUUAAAUCAUAUCAAUUUUUAACAAAAAUGUUGGCUAAAAUAUUGUUUUCAAAUGAUGUUGGCAUGACAAUUCAUGUAGUAAUUUAUGUGUAUUUUUGUAAAAAAGUUUAUUUCAAUUGGAAAUAAAUUUUAUCUAUUUUUUAAAAAAAUAAAUUUUUUUGUUCUAAUGAUUUUUUUUGUAAAAUUAUUUUUCAAAAAUGUAUUCCAACUGGAAUAAAAUAAUUUGAACAAAAUUUUUUUUUCGAAAAAUAAAUAAAAUUUAUUUUCAGUUGAAAUUAGCUUUUUUAGAAAAAUACUUUUUAGUAGAAAUAUUUUGGACUAAUUAGUUAGAUGCCUCAUUAUUUUUCAUGUUGAAGGAAAAUAAAAGAAAAUGAUAAAAAAGGAGAACUUAUGAAAUAAUUUAUUUUAUUUAAAAUUUAGUGCAGCCCUAAAAGUUUUUCUUUAAGCAUCCAAUUAAAAUGCAAAAUUUACAUAUUAUGUUUUUAAAUAUUUUAAAUCAUUAUAUUUUAAUUUAGUGUUGUAAAAUUAUCAGGCAAUGCGGAUAGAAUAUUGUACCAAACGUACUAUUUUAGUAAAUAAUCUCGUACCAUUUGAGUUAUUAUUAUUUUUAUAUUAUUGGAGUAAAAAAGAAACCGUCAAAAACUAUGAACUACAUAAGUAGAUGACGCAUGCAGAGCAAUCCCUAUUUUAUAUUAAAACAAUCACUACUAGACACUGCUAACGUAAGGAAUGGCAUAAGGAAUGGAUAUACUAUUCUCUUUACUAUCAUAUAUGGAAUGUACAUAGUAACUACAGUCAAUAUGGACAUUAAAAUACAGGUUUAUGACCGGAAAUAAACUUUUAGAAAAAUGAAAAUAUCGGGAGUUUUCGAGAGAGAGAAUUUUCUUUUCUCUAUCUCCAGAUUCAUUGAUUUAUGUGAUUAUGUCAAGAAAGACGUAGAAAAAGCUAGACUCUUCCCUUUUUUUUUUGCCUAUAAAUAGACAUACUUAUGCCCCUUCAGUUCAGAAUCAGAGAGAGAAAAGAACAAGCCCAAGAUUUUAGUUUUAGUAUUUGAAUCUUUAGAUCAAAAGAAUGGCAGAGGAAGUAGUAUUGCUGGAUUUCUGGCCAAGUCUGUUCGGGAUGAGAUCCAGGAUUGCUUUGGCUGAGAAAGGGAUUAAGUACGAAUACAAGGAAGAAGACUUGAGGAACAAGAGUGCUUUACUGCUGCAGAUGAACCCUGUUCAUAAGAAAAUCCCUGUCCUUAUCCAUAACGGUAAACCUGUUUGUGAGUCGCUCAUUCAGGUUCAGUACAUCGAUGAGGUAUGGCAUGACAAAGCUCCUUUGCUCCCUUCUGACCCUUACCAAAAAGCUACUGUAAGGGCUGAUUAUAUUGACAAGAAGGUACGUUCUUUUUUUUUCCCUUUUGGAACUGUUUACAUAAAUAGGAGAGCAAAGUAUUGUGCCUAAAAUAAUGUUAAAUGAAAUGCAGAUAUAUGACCUGGGGAGCAGAGUAUGGAAGACAAAGGGAGAAGAGCAAGCAACAGCAAAGAAAGAAUUCAUAGAAAGCCUGAAGCUGAUAGAAAAGGAGCUUGGGGACAAGCCUUACUUUGGAGGAGAAAGUUUUGGAUAUGUGGAUGUUGCAUUCAUUCCGUUUUAUAGCUGGUUUUAUGCUUAUGAGAAGUGUGGGAACUUCAGCAUUGAAGCAGAGUGUCCCAAACUAAUAGCAUGGGCUAAAAGGUGCAUGCAAAAGGAGAGUGUAGCCAAGUCCCUUCCUGACCAACAAAAAGUCUAUGAUUUUAUCCUGCAGAUGAAGAAACAUUUUGGAAUUGAGUAAUUCCAGCUUUUGUUUAUGAUUUUAAAUAAAAUGGGGACAUGUAUGUUGUGCCUCCCCUGUUCUCAGUUCUUCUAUUUUUCGUUUUUCAAUCGAUCAGAUGGUUUGGGAUUUGUCGGUUGCAGUAUGUAGUUUUUAAAUUAAAGGUAAUCAAUACUAAACACUUGCUCUUAUCUUAUUUCAAUCGUAUUAGUUUUCUUAUAAUAAAAAAAGUGUAGAGUGACUCAAUUUUGAUGUAUGUUAUAAAACAGUUAUUUUGAUUUUAAUUUAAUUAUUUAACUUUCCAAAAAUAAUAAAUCAAUCAUUCAAAUUAUUUUCUUUUACUAUUUUCCUUUACAGUAACACAGAAAGUUAAUUUGUUAUUUAAUUGGCAUAAAUAUAUAUUCAAUUGUUUUUUACAAAAAUAUUUUAAUUUUUUUAUAAUUAAUUUAAGUUAUUGGUGAAAGAUAAAUAAAAUGUUCCUAAAAUUUGUAUUUAUUUAUUUAUUUUUGUGAAAACCUGAUGUAAAUAAAUUAGUUUUAUAAAUGCAUAAAAUAAUAAUGUUAUUUUAAGUUUUAAAGUAAGUAAUUUGCAUAUUGUAAGUGUUGAAUAAUACUUUUGUUUUGCUAUGGUAUUUUAAUUAAUAUUAUAUAUAAAAUAAUUAUAAAUUCAAAAAAUUAUGUUAAUAUUAUUUUAUCAUAUUUACUAAAAAAUAUGAAAGCAUACAACUACAUGGUUUUAGAUUAUAUAUUUUAUACUUUUAAUGGUUCAUAAAAAUGUUGAAUCUAUAAACUUGUUAUCUACUAUAAGAUAAUUUUUUUUAUUUGUUGAAGAUAUAUUUUUAUUUAAUUUAAUAUUAUAAGUGGCUUAAUAAUCAUUUUAUUAUUAUUUCACAAACAUGUGUCUGUUUCUUUAUUUUUUAAUAUUUUAUUAUAUUUUUAUAAGAUAUUUUUCAAACCAUUACUCCAAUAAUAAUGUAUCAAAUUUUUUUUUUGAAAUCAAAAUGACAAAUGAAGUAAGCUAGUUGACAUUUUAUUGAGAAAAAAAUUGAAAUUAAUUUUUUAUUUUUUAAAAUUGAUCAAAUCAUACUUUUAUCUUUUAUGUUAAAUAUAUUUAAUAAUUUUAUGUAAUUAAAAUUUUAAUAAUUAAUAAUAUAAUAAAAUAUUUUAAAGAAAUAAUAAAUUUUAACUUUCAUUACCCCAUUGGAUUAAGAGUGAAAAAGUCCUCAAACAUUUUCAAGAAAAGCAAUUAAGCCUCUUUUUUUUUUUUUUGAUUAAUUGAAUACUUGAACUGCCAAAACUCAGUGAAAUAGCCCAUUGACUGAUGUUGACCAUUAAUUUUUAAUGGUCAAAGAUGAUAUGGCUAUUAAAUUUAAUUCUUUUGUUUCACUUUUGCCAACUAAGACGUUACCUUAGAUGCCACGUGCACUAUUGAUGACAUCGUCAUUUUUUGUUCAUGAUGUGGCUUUUUUAUUUGUUAUUAUAAUUAAAUUAAUUUAAUUAAUUUUAUGUACAAUUUUUAUAAUAAGUUGAAAAAAAAUAGAAAUCCUAAUCCUUAAACUUAAUUAUCACAUUUAAUUUUUGAAGAGAAAAAACAAAAAAUAAAAAAUCACCAAAAAAUCUCUCUUGAUCGUCACAAAUGUUGAAAGAAAUUUUGUUUUCCAUUUGAAUCAUUAUUGAAAUCUCAUUUGCCAAGAACCUUUUAUUUUUAUUUUUAUUUUUUGGUUGAAACCUCAUAUUGGAAAUCAAAAUCCUUUUAGUGAAUAAAAAAUUACUUUGCUAAAUCCCUAAAUCUUCAACAAUAUACCCCUAAAUAAAAAAUCCCUUAGCUAAUCAAAAACCAUAUUCUCAAGAACUUUUGUUCAAUUGCAAACCCUAAUAAAAAAACUUUUAUUUUACUCGAAACCCUAAAUUAGACAACCUUAUUUUAAAAAGUCAAAAGCUUUCCUUGAAUUUAAGAACUAAAAUGCACAAUUUCAAUGCUUUAAAGGCUAAUUGAGACAUUAAGUAGGUAAGUUUUUUGUGAAAUUUCUAGAUUGAAUUUUUUUAUUUGGGUUUUUGACUAGUUUCUUUAUAAUAAGAAAAAAACUUUUUCUUGACAUGCUUUCUAGGUUGAAAAAGGAAGAGGCUUAUUGUAAAAAUUUUGACGAAAGGCUCAUGUUUUGGGUGGCUAGGUAAGCAACAACUAUUAGGUCCAAUUUUUAAUUUUGCAUUGGAAUCUAUUUGGUGCAAUAGAAUAGUAUAUAGUAAAAAAAUAAUCUAUUUGAGCGCAUUUGUCAGGAUCUAGAUUCCCUUUCAUAAACAACAAUAAAUAUAAAAGUCAACACAAUACUGACAUAACAUUUUCUCUCCCAUUUUUCUUGUUAUUGUUAGGUUUUAUUAUAUAGUUAUCUUUGCUGUAUGUCUGUCAAAAAAAUUAAAUAAAGUUAAUACAGUACUGACAAUAAACAUAACAAUGAUUUUGUCUUUUGUGUAUGUAUGUUAAAUAUAAUUAAUCUUGUUUAUUGUUUAUUUAUUGGUUUUUACUAUAAUAUAUCUGUUAGAAUGUUAUGUGAAUACAAUCUGUAUGUUUGUUUGUAUGACAUCAUUUAUAUAUUUAUAUAUGUGAUGUCCACAAAAUUAAUUAAAAAUUCGAGUAAUGCAAGUGCACUUAUCAAUUAAUAGUAUAGCUACGGUGAGCAAAAUUAAUUAAAAAUUCGAGUAAUGCAAGUGCACUUAUCAAUUAAUAGUAUAGCUACGGUGAGCAAAUGUAUCGUUCCCAUGAAGACUAAAAGUAUUAUAAUUACCGUCUUUCUAUUAUUUAAUUGAAUAAUUCGAGUGAUCAAUUAAAAACUAAACUUAACUAAAUUAAUUAACUAACAAACACGACAAAGAAAACAUCCAAUAGACAAUAUAAUUGAAAGAAAUAAAGAAACUCAUGAUAAUCUCCUAAGAAAUCAACCGAGAAUCUUAUAUAUUAACGAAAAUCUACUUCAGAAUUAGUUUCAAUGGUUUUUUCAAGUUAUUUUCUUGAAUAUUCUAUGACGGUUCUCUCACAUCUUCUUGUUUUUAUCAUAUAUACAUCUUAGAAUGCGCGAAAAACCUAAAAAUCAUGAUUUCUACUGUUCAAAGUGCAAAUUUACGCAAUCUACACGACCGUGUUGUAACACCCUUAACCUGUAUCCGUUGCUAGAAUAGGGGUACGAGGCAUCACUGGAUAAGACACAUCAUUCAUAUACAUUAUUGCAAUCAUAAUCAAAAUCCAUUCAUCUCAAUCAUAUUGUCCCUUCUAAGGUCUUACGAGACCUUAAAACAUGCUUAGAAAAGGUUCAGGACUACACCGAUAACAUUUGCAAACUUUGGGAAACAUAGAAAACUUUCAAACAUUUAAAAGUCACACGCCCGUAUGAACAGGCCGUGUGCCUUACACGGCUACCAGACACGCCCAUGUCACAGGCUGUGUGAAAACAGAGCAUACAUACUAACUUGCACCACACGGCCGAGGACAUGCUCAUGUGCCAUGGCUAUGUGGAAAAUAGGGAGGUUACUGACUUGGCCACACGGUCGACCACAGUCCGUGUGUCAAACCUGUGUACCUUUCGAAAUGGUUACACACGCCUAUGUGCCAAGGCUGUGUGUCUCACACCGUCAAUAGACACACCAGUGCGUCUAGGCCGUGUCAAAAUUGUAGGGUAUACUGCCUUAAUUCGAAAGGGUACCCCAGGGGACAAACGGCCGUGUAACAUGACUGUGUGUCACACAUGGCUGAGACACACGCCUGUGUCUCAGCCUGUGUGGACAAAAAUAGGCUAUUUGCAAAGCCAAUUUUUCCAUCAUCAUCUCAUACACAGUGUAACACCCUCUAACCUUAAACCGUCGCUGAAACAGGGUUACGAGGUAUUACCGGAUAAUCAGACAAUUUACGAUUAAUAUUCAAAUAAUUAUCGAACAUAUUAUAAUAUAAUCAUAAUAUAUUAUAAUAUUAUAAUAUUAUAACUGAAGCAGAUAGUUGUAAAAGAUUUCUAUGAGGCUUGCGAGACGAGAUCAAUGUACAGUUAGUAUCUCACCGUAUUAUUGAGUUUGUGGAUUUGAUUGAGUGAGCCAAAAUGGAAGAGCAAGUGUUGGGUCUCGACAAAAAGACUGAAAGUGUCAGAUUAACCGGGAAACGUGCAGGAACUACCAGCUCAAAUCCGCAGCCAAAAAGAUCAAAGGAAUCUCAAGAUGGAUGGAGAUCCAGUUUUAGAUCUGAUAGAGGCGGUAGAAGCAGAGGAAGACAGACAACAGUAUCUACUAGCAGUGUGAGAAGCCCCUUUUAGGAAAUAGAAAUUCCAAACUGUCAGAACUGUAGAAAGAAACAUAGAGGGGAAUGCUGGAAAUUAACUAGAGGCUGCUUCAGAUGUGGUUCUACUGAUCAUUUCAUUAGAGACUGCCCGAAAACUGAUAGUGCUGCACCAGUAACAACACAGAGACCAGUAUCUACAACUAGAGGCAGGGGAUCUGGUAGAGGUAGUUCGGCUUCUAGAGGAGGAGGUAUUAGGAGGAGCAGUGAUAUUGUUACCUAGCAGUCUGAGGCUAAAGUACCAGCUAGAGCUUAUGUGGUCAGAACUCGUAAAGAAGGCGAUGCUCAUGAUGUGGUAACAGGUAUAUUUCUAUUAUAUUCUGAGCCUGUUCAUGCUUUAAUUGAUCCUGGAUCUUCGCAUUCAUAUAUUAAUUCAAAAUUAGUUUAGUCAAGAAAAUUAAAAUUCGAAAUGUCUAGAGUGUCUAUUGAGGUGUCGAGCCCAUUGGGGGAAAUAGUGUUAGUGAACCAGGUUUGUCCAAGAUGCCCGUUGAUUAUACAGAAUAAAAAUUUUCUAGCUUACUUGUUGAUUAUGCCAUUUGGGGAUUUUGAUAUAAUACUGGGGAUGGAUUGGUUAUCUAAACAUUGAGUGAUUUUGGACUGCUACAAAAAGAGAUUCAGUAUUCAGACAGAGAGUGAAGAUUUGGUUGAAGUAAAUGGUAUUCGUACUAGUUGGCUAGCACAAAUUAUUUCAGCAAUAAAGGCUAGUAACUUACUUCAGCAGGGUUGUUCAACAUAUUUGGCAUAUGUUGUUAAUUCAAAUUCUGUUGGAAGCCAGUGUGGUAAAAUUUGGACAGUUUGUGAGUUUCCUAAUGUAUUUCCUGAAGAACUACCGGGCUUACCGCCAGAUAGAGAAGUUGAAUUUACUAUAGAGGUUUAUCCGGGUACGGCUCCAAUAUCUAUACCUCCAUAUCGAAUGUCACCUACAGAGUUGAAAGAGCUGAAGAUACAGUUGUAGGACUUAUUAGAUCGUGGUUUUAUUUGACCGAGCAUAUCAACAUGGGGAGCUCCAGUGUUAUUUGUUAAGAAGAAAGAUGGAUCAAUGCGGUUUUGUAUUGAUUAUCGACAAUUGAACAAGGUAACCAUUAAAAAUAAAUAUCCAUUACCUCGUAUUGACGAUUUGUUUGAUCAGUUGAAAGAAGCUUCUGUAUUCUCGAAGAUUGACUUAAGGUUAGGUUACUAUCAGUUGAAGGUAAAAGAAAGUGAUGUACCAAAGACAGCUUUCCGUACGAGGUAUGGCCACUAUGAGUUCUUAGUAAUGCCAUUCGGGUUGACAAAUGCUCCAGCUGCUUUUAUGGAUCUCAUGAAUCGUAUCUUUCAACCGUAUUUAGAUCAGUUUGUAUUAGUUUUUAUUGAUGAUAUACUGGUUUAUUCGAAGUCAGAGUCAGAGCAUGAUCAGCAUCUCAGUAUUGUACUACAGAUAUUACGGGAAAAAAAAUUGUAUGGAAAGCUCAAAAAAUGUGAAUUUUGGUUGUCAGAGGAUGUAUUUCUGGGACAUGUAGUAUCUACAGAUGGAAUCCAAGUUGAUCCAAAGAAGAUUGAAGCGAUUGUACAGUGGAAACCACCAAGAAAUGUAUCAGAGGUAUAUAGUUUUCUUGGUUUAGCUGGGUAUUAUAGAAGAUUUGUAAAUAGAUUUUUGAAGAUAGCUUUGCCAAUGACCAAGCUGCUACAAAAGAAUGUACCGUUUGUGUGGGAUGAUCAAUGCCAAGAAAGUUUUGAAAAGUUGAAGCAAAUAUUAACAGAGGCAUCAGUUCUGACAUUACCAGAGUCGAGGAAAGAUUUUGUAGUGUAUAGUGAUACUUCUUUGAGUGGUCUGGGUUGUGUACUAAUGCAGGAUGGAAAAGUAAUAGCCUAUGCAUCUCGUCAAUUAAAGCCACACAAAUGUAACUAUCCGACUCAUGAUUUGGAACUAGCAGCAGUGAUUUUUGCUCUGAAGAUUUGGAGACAUUAUUUGUACAGUGAGAAAUGCUACAUCUAUACCGAUCAUAAAAGUUUGAAAUAUCUACUCUCUCAAAAAGAAUUGAACUUGAGACAAAGAUGGUGGAUAGAGCUCCUAAAAGAUUAUGACUAUGUUAUAGAUUACCAUCCGAGAAAAGCUAAUGUUGUAGCUGAUGCACUAAGUAGAAAAGCUGCAAUUGAAUUAAGAACAAUGUUUGCACAGCUCAGUAUCAGUGAUGAUGGGAGUCUUUUGGCCGAGUUGAGAGUAAAGCCGGUAAUGUUUGAUCAGAUCAGAUCAGCACAGUUGAAAGAUGAUAAGUUGUUGAAAAAGAGAGAGAUGGUACAAAAUGGUACUGCAGAAAACUUUAAUGUUGAUGAUCAUAGUUGUUUGAGAUUUCGAAAUCAGAUUUGUAUUCCAGCUACUUCUGAGCUUAAAGAGUUAAUUUUUUGAGAAGCUCACGAUAGUUCAUUUGCAUUACACCCCAGAGGUACGAGGAUGUAUCGUGAUUUACGAGAAUUAUAUUGGUGGCCUGAAAUGAAAAGGGACAUAGUUGAAUAUGUUAGUAAAUGUUUGACAUGUCAGCGAGUAAAAGUGAAACAUCAGGUUUCUACUGGACUACUUUAGCCUAUUAAUAUUCCCGAAUGGAAAUGGGAUCGUAUCACGAUGGAUUUUGUUACGGGAUUGCCACUGUUAGCGAGUAAAAAAAUGCCAUUUGGGUAAUUUUUGAUCGGCUUACAAAAUCAGCUCACUUUAUAGCAGUCAGAACAGAGUGGUCAUUGCAGAAGCUUACAAAAGUGUAUUCGAGAAAUUGUUAGAUUACACGGUAUUCCGGUGUCAAUAAUUUUGGAUCGAGAUCCUCGGUUCACAUCGAGAUUUUGGAGAUAGCUACAUGAAUCAUUAGGUACUCGACUUAACUUUAGUACGGCCUUUCAUCUGCAAACAGAUGGACAGUCUGAACGGGUAAUUCAGAUAUUAGAAGAUAUGCUUUACGCCUGUAUCAUUGAUUUUGAAUCAGGUUGGGAACGUUAUUUGCCAUUAGCUGAAUUUGUCUACAAUAAUUGUUUUCAAUCUAGUAUACAAAUGGCCUCGUAUGAAGCACUAUAUGGUCGAAGGUGUAGAUCACCGGUAUGUUGGACAAAAUUGAAUGAAAGAAAAGUGAUUGGGCCGGAAUUGAUUCAAGAAACAGAGGAAACAGUUAAAAAGAUCAAAGAUAGAUUGAAGACAGCUUUUGACAGACAAAAGUCUUAUGCUGAUUUAAAAUGACGAGACAUUGAAUAUUCAGUCGGGGACAAGGUAUUUCUUAAAGUUUCUUCAUGGAAGAAAGUCUUGAGAUUUGGUCGGAAAGGUAAAUUGAGUCCACGUUUUAUUAGGCCGUAUGAAAUAGUGGAAAGAAUUGGACUGGUUGCCUACUGAUUAGCUUUGCCUUCAGAGUUACAGAAAAUUCACGAUGUUUUCUAUGUUUCUAUGCUUCGGAGAUAUAGGUCGGAUCCUUCAUAUAUCAUUCCCACUGAAGACAUUGAACUUCGGUCGGAUCUGUCUUAUGAAGAAAAGCCAGUGCAAAUAUUAGCUAGAGAAGUAAAGAAGUUGAGAAACAAACGGGUUCCUUUAGUAAAAGUGUUAUGGAGAAAUCACAAUGUGGAAGAAGCAACUUGGGAACUAGAAGAAACAAUGAGAGCUCAAUAUUCUCAUCUCUUCUCAGGGAAAUUUCGAGGAAGAAAUUUAUUAAGGGGAGAGGAAAUGUAAUGACCCAAAAUUCACGAGCAUCAGAAAAGUGCAAUAUCGGGCCUCUAUCUUAGUAAAUCGAGUUAAAAAAUAAUUAUUAGAAAUAUUUAUGAGUCUAGUGAUGUGUUUAAUUAGGUUUAAAUUAGGUGAAUUUAGCUUAAUUAAGAAUAAUUAGGAAAAAGGACUAAAUGGAAUAAGGUGUAAAAGUUUAAUUAUAAAGUAAAAGAAAAUAAGAGGGACUAAAUAGGUAAAUAAGCAAAUGGCUUAAUAUGAAGUGGUAAUACAUGGGAAAAUCUUAGAUUUUUCUUGAUUUAUAUUAUAAAAAUAUUAUUUAAUUAAAACAUUAUAAAUUAUAUUAAUUAAAAUUAAGAUAUUAUAUUAAAGGAAAUAAAUAAAAUAAAGACAAUUGUAUGGUAAUAAAAUAUACAUGUGUAAUAAUCAUAUUUGUACAAUUGUAAGUUAAAUACUUAAAUACUUUUUAUUUAGGUAAAAAGAUAUUUAUUAGAUAAAAUAAUUAAAUUGUGAGAUUUUUUGUAAUAGUGACGUUUGUAAUAAUGUGAAUAUAUACAUUUGUAUUAUAUUUAUUUAUUUACUUGAAAAUUAAGUAAAAGAUAAUUACUAAUUAAAUAAUUAUAUUAGGAGAUUUUUUUAUUAGUAAAUAAAUUGAAAGUAUGACAAUUGUAUGGUAUUGAUAUUGUACAAAUGUAUAAAAAUAUAUGUGUACAGUUACAGUAUUUGUACUUGUUAUUAAAAUAAAUUAUAAUUUAUAUUAAUUAUAUUAUAAGAUUUUUGUAUGAUAAAUAAAUAAAAGAAAGACAAAUGGAUGGUUAUGAUAAUAUACAAAUGUAAAAAUAUUUAUGAGUGUACAUUUGUAAUAUAUGUAUUUGUGUAUUAAAUAGAUAUUUAUUAUUAUUAUUUAAUUAAUUGAUAUUAUAUUAUUAUAUUAAUGAAUAAAUUAAUAGAUUGACAAAUGUAAGGUGAUAGUAAAAUACAAGUGUAAUAAAUCAUAGACAUACUAUUGUAAUAUAUUUAUUUACUUAUUAUUUAAGAAAUAAUAAUAUUUAUUAAGUUAAUAUAAUAAAAUAAUAAACAAAAGUAAAAUAAAAAAAUAAACAAAGCAAAAGAAACAGAAAAGAAACAGAGAACAUUCGAACAAGGGAAGGAAAGAAACAAAAAGAAAAGAAAAAGAAAAAAACUAGGGUUUUAAGGUUUGAAGCUUUAAAAGGUAAGUCAAUUAAGUCAUUUUCUCUUAAUUUUGAUGUUUUAGAAGCUUUAGAACAAAGUUUUGUUGAAAUUAAGUUGAAGUUUUGAACGUUCUUAGGUUUUUGAACAUAGUUCAUGUUGAAUAAAAUAAUGAAUUAGGGGUUUAAUUGAAUGAAUUUCAAGUUAGAAUUGAUUAAAGAAUUAAAUUGUAAACUAGGCUAUAAGUUUUGUGUUGUAGGGAAUAAAUUGAAAGAAGUUUUAAAUUAGGGUUUUAUUAUGAACAUUAGAUAGUUAAGUGGAAUAUGGAAGGAAAUUGAAUAGAAAUAAAGUAUGAAUUGAGUUAGAAAAGUAAAUGAGUUAAUUAGGAUUAAAUUGGAAUUACGGUAUAAAUUGGAUAAAAAUUCAGUUAUUAUUAUUAAUUAAUGCUGUAAUUAAUAGUGUAAAUUAUUAUUAUUUUCGUAGAUAACAAAGAACCCGAGGCAUUGGCACAAAAAGGAAAGGAGAAAGUUAUCGAGGAGUAAUCGCGAAAUUCGGGUUUGUAUUACUAUAAUUCAAGUUAUUUAUUAUUAAGUAUUAAUUUUAAAAUUUAUUUAUUCUAUAGUAAGUAAAUAUUGAGGUAAGUAAUUUUAUUGAAUUGAAUUUAGAAAAUUGAAUUGAAUGAGAAAUACGUGUUAGUAUUACUAUAAUUCGAAUUUAAUUAUUAUUAAUUGUUGAAUUUUAAGUUGAUAUGCAUGGUAAGUAUUAGUAUUGAAUUGUAUGAAAUUAAAUUGAAUUGUGAUUAUAUGUAAAUAAUUGAAAUAUAUAUUGAAUUGAGAAAGUGUAUUGAACUAUGAAUAUGUGAAUUAAAAAUUUGUUUGAAAAGUGGAAAAUGAUUGAAUUGAAAAUAUGAGAAAUUGUAACUGAAUUGAGAUUUAUAUGUGAUCUGGAAACCUUAUUAACUAGUCGGGUUGAGUCGGAUAUAGUUGGCAUGCCAUAGGAUUGGAAGUGCUCAGGGAUACUUCAACCUCAAUGAGACACUGGGUGUCAUACUGUUACUUCGGAUAGAUUCGAUGAGGUACUGGGUGCCACUUUACUUCGGCUAGGCCAAUGAGACACUGUGUGUCAACUUUGUUUCGAACUAUCCGAUGAGGCACUGAGUGCCAAACUGGUGUGUUUGGUUGGAUCCAUGUAUCCGCCAAAGUCCGAGUCUGUUAAUAGGGCUAAUUAAAAGAAAAGUUAAGUUGAAUAAAAAGGAAUUGGUUGAAACAUUAAAAGAAAUGUUAAAAUGGAACAUGAAUUGAAAAUGUGAUUUGAAUAUGAGAAUGGAAAGCAUAAACCAAUGGUUCAUGAAUUAGAUAAUGGUUCAACAUGAAUGUAUAUGAUUUUAAUUGAUGAAUAACUAAAUUAAAUUGUAUGAAUAUAUUGAGAAUGAAAAAUUUAUGUUUAAAUUGAUUUAGUAAAUAUUAAAGUUAUAUGAAUUAAUUUAUAUGAUUAUUAUCUUUAUAAUUUGAAUUAUGGUAAUACCACUGUGUAUGAAGUACUCAGCAUACGGUUGUUUCCGUGCGCAGGUUAAUAGGUAUUCAGAGUCUCAGUUUAACAUCCAGGCGAUCCCGACUCUAGCACAAAACUCGGUGAUGUAUUUUUCUUUUGGUAAAAGUGGCAUGUACAUUGGUGUUAUUUUAAUUACUUUAAAAUGUUGUAUGAUUUUUGUUGUAAAGAAUGAUAUUUGGCAUUUUGGUGUUUAAACUAAUGAAAUGGUAUGAAAAUUUAUAUGAUAUAUAUAUAGUAUAAUUGAUACUAAAAUGAUAUUUUGAUACUUGGUUUAAUGAAAUGGAAAUAAAAUUAUCAUAACAUAUUCGAUAUAGUUGAUAACAAGUUGAAAUAGAAUGAACGCUUAUUAAAUUAAAAAAUAUAUGCGAAUAUUUACUUAGUAAAUUACUAAGUUGAUGUUAAGCUAUGUUUAGGUGUAUUUAAAUAUGAAAUUGUAUGGAUUAUGAUAUUGGUUUUGAAUUGGUUGCGAUUUGAAUUUGCAGGGAAGGUUAAAUAUUUAUAAAGGGGUUAUAUUAAAUUUUUCUUAAAAAAAAAAGAGUCAAUUAGCAAAAGUUUUAUAUGAACUUAUAAUUAUAUUAGAAUAUGUUCGAUAAUUAUUUGAAUAUUAAUCGUAAAUUUUCCGAUUAUCCGGUAAUGCCUCGUAAUCCUAUUCCGGCGACGGUUUAGGGUUAGAGGGUGUUACACACACCUAGCCAUCAAAUGAUAUCAAUUCGACACUUAUAUAUAAGCAAACAAAUCAUUCCAUUUCACACACAUAACAUACCAUCUAUCAUCAAUCAAUUCAACUACUAAAUUCCAUAUUCAAAACAUACCAUAUCGAUAUACCACAAUCAUCAAUCUCACAUAACUUUUAAAUGAAUUUUCUCACCUUUUUAUCAACCAAAUCAUGUUUCUCAAACAUAUCAAUUCAUCAUCCUCAAAUCAUACCAAAAUAUACCAAAUUCCAAGCAAUAAUACCACAACAUAUAACUAUCCAAAAGAGCAUCCAUACAACCAUUCCAAACAAGCCAACACUUAAGAUAUUAUAUACAUCACAUAUAUCACUUAUCAAACAAAUAAUUCUAGCCAACUUAAAUGGCCAUAUUCUACCAUUUACAAGCCAAAUCUCAUGGCUAUAAUCACAACUCAAAACAUACCAAGAUGAAACUAGCCUAUACAUGCCAUAUACCAUAUUUACAAAGAUUCAAAAGUACCAACGAGAUGAUCGAUAGUGUGAUGACGUUUCCCGAAAAUCCCUGAGUCUGAGCUAGCUUCGAUAAUCUAUAAAACAUGGAAAGAACACACAAAGUAAGCUUUAAAAUCUUAGUAAGCCAUAUAAAAAUAAAGGCAUCACAUGAACAUUUACAUAUCAAUUCAAAUAUACUUAACAUGGCUAAUCUCAUUCAAAUUCACAAACCUUUCUCAUUGAACAUUUAUUUAAUGUCUUAAUCGAGUUCAUCAAAUAUUUCCCCUUUUUAAUACUCGUAUGAAUUUUGUAAGUACCUGAGUCAUUUAGCUCAUUCACAUAUUCUUUCUCGACUAGACUUUUCCCGUUAAACCAUUCGGAAUCAUUAAGUAUACUCGAAAAUCAUGUAAGCUGGUACAAUGCCAUAUCCCAGAUAUGGUCUUAUAUGUUAUCACAUAUCGAUGCCUCUGUCCCAGAUAACGAUGCCAAUGUCCCAGACAUGGUCUUACACGUAUUUACAAUACAAUGCCAAUUCCCAGACAUGGUCUUACACGUAUUCACAAUACAAUGCCAAUGUCCCAGACAUGGUCUUACAUGUAAUCACAUCUCGGUAACCUAAUGUCAUGACAUUUGUAUCCUAUUCUAUUCCUAAGGUUCGUACGAGACUUUCGGAUAUUGUAACUUCGUCGAUUCUUGCUCGUAUUUGCUCAUUCAACAUUCAUAGCAAUUCAAAGAUAAUGAAACAUAUAUAAUUUAAUUCAAAGACAUUUAUUUCCAUAUGAACUUACCUCGUAGUCGAAAUAAAGGGACUGGAUCGACUAUUCGAUAACUUUGGAUUUCUCCCGAUCUAAAUCCGAUUUCUUUCGUUCUUGAUCUAUAUACAUUCAAAAUUAACUCUUUAAUUCAUCAACACAUUCAAUUUAGUCCACAAACACAUAUUUAGGAUUUGCACUUUAGCCCCUAAAGUUCUACAUUUAUUCAAUUUAGUCCCUAUUUCACAAAAAUACAAAUUACACAAAAUUCAAUAUGGCCCAUGCUUAGCUGAAUUCUCUAUAACUUCAUAACAGCCCAUAUUUUCAUUUAUUUCACACUUUUAACCACAAUAUUUCACAUUUUCUCAAUUUAAUCCCUAAUGGAUAUUUCUACUUAAAAUCACUUUACAAAACAUGUAUAUUAAGCAUCAAGCUUUCAUAUUUCAUCAUCAAACAUUCAAAAAACAUGAAUUCAUCAAUGGAAAAUUUCAAAAUCAUCAACACUUUCAAAAAUUGAUGCAUGGGCUAGCUAAUACUCAAAGAAUGAUCACAAAAACAUAGAAAUCAUCAAAAAUCGAGCUCGAAACAUACCUCAAUUAAGCCACACAAGUGCCGAACCCUAAAUGAGCUUCAAGCUUUCUUUCUUUUCUUUAUUUUCGGUUAUGAAUGAUGAAAAUAAAGAUGAUAAUGCUUUUGUUUUAAUUAUUUAAGCUUUAAUUCAUAAAUUACAAAAAUAACCUUUGUUUAAACAUUAAUAAAUCACCUAAUUUAAGGCUAUUUAUGUCCAUCUCCACUAUCAAUGGACUGAUUACAACAUAAGGACCUCACACUUAAUAAACCAUAGCAAUUGAGCACUUUUAACAUAUAGAAUGCCACUUUUGCAUUUUACGCAAUUUAGACUGUAACACCCCUAACCCGUAUCCGUUGCCGGAAUAGAGUUACGAGGCAUUACCAGUCAAUCACAACAUAAAUCAUACAUUUGUGCAAUUAUAGUUAAAAUCUCUUCAUCUCAAUCACUUUGUCCCUUAUAACGUUUUACGAAACCUUAAAACAUGCUUAAAACUGGUUCGGGACUAAACCGAUAACAUUUACAAAGUUUAGGAAGCUUAGAAAAUUUUCUUUGAUUUCAGGGUCACACACCCGUGUGAACAAACCGUGUGCCUCACACAGCCACCAGACACGCCCGUGUCAUAGAUCGUGUAAAAACAGGGCAUACAUACUAACUUGUACCACAUGGCUGAUGACACGCACGUGUGCCAGGCCGUGUGAAAUCUAAGGGGGGUUACUGACUUAGGUCACACGGCCAACCACACACCUAUUUGCCAGCCCGUGUGCUACACACGACCAGUAGACAUGCUCGUGUGUGUAAGCCGUGUCAAAACUGUAGGGUAUACUAACUUUAAUUCGAAGGGUACCCCAAGGGACACACGGCCGUGUAGCAUAGCUGUGUGUCGCACACGGCUGAGACACACCCGUGUCACUGCCCGUGUGGACAAAAAUAGGCCAUUUGCAAAGCCAAUUUGCCACCCUUUUCUCAUGCUCACCUAGUCAUCAAAAUGAUUCCAUUUCAACACAUAUAUAAGCAUCCAAAAACAUGCAAUUCCAUACACAUAACAUGCCAUCUAUCCACAACCAAUUUAUCUAACCAAUUCCACAACCAAAACAUAUCUAGACAAUAUGUCAAUACCAACACUUUCAUUCAUCUCCCUUAUGCAUUUUCUCAUCAUUUUAUCACUUAUUUUAUAUCACAAAAGUUACCAUUUUAACAUCUCAUAAUCAAGUCACAACAUACCACUAUUCUAACCUUAAUUCUCCCAUUUACAACUAAUUAAAAUAACAACCAUAUAACUUUAACAAACAAGUCAACAUAGAAGGCAUUGUAUACAUCACAUAAAUAACUUAUCAAACACAUAACUUAAGUUUACUUAAAUGGCCACAUUCACAUCAACAUUUACAAGCCAAAUCUCAUGGCUAAAAUCAAGUCUCAAAAUAUACCACAAUGACAGUAGCCUAUACAUGCCAUAUACCAUAUUUACAAGCAUCCAAAAAUACGAACAAGUAGUCGAUAGUGUGAUGAUGGUUCCCAAUGAUCCCUGACGUCCGAGCUAGCUUCGAUACUCUAUAAAACAAAGACAAAUAACACACAGUAAGCUUCAUAGCUUAGUAAGUUCGUACCAAAUAUACUCAACAGUUCAUAAUAUACAAAUCAUCAAUUAAUAAACACUUAGUAGUUCUCAUACCAUCAUUCAAUUCUAAUCCAUGACCAUUUAUCAUGUUUAUACAACUUCAUCAAGCUUCAUACAUAUAGUAUCAACUACAACAUAGGUAUCGUACGUACCUGUAGUUUCCCGUAUUUAUUUAUUUCAUUCUCACCUCUUUUUUCAAUACGUUAAAUCGUUUGGAAAUCUUUCAAUACUCUAAGAACUCACACAUUUAGUGCAUAAAUGAUUUGCUGAAGCUAUAACUAUAUCUCACAAUUAGUGCCAUCACAUUAAACCGAAGCUACCUUGGUAUUGCACACUUAGUGCCACAUAUAGCCGAAGCUAUUCCAAUUCGCACACUAAGUGCUUUAUAUAGUCAAAGCUAUUUCGAAACACACGCUAAGUGCCAAAUAUAGUAGAUUUUUCAUCGUACACAGUCAUAGCCGCAUAUAUACAAUUUAUGCAUUAUUAAAACAUUAAAAACAUAAUUAUAACAAUAUUUAUCACGUAGAUUAGUCGAUUAGUCGAGUACUUUGUCUUUGCCUCGAUCUAAGUCCGGGUUCCUCUUUUCUUGAUCUAGAUGUAUUCAAAAUUAACUUAUUCAACCAAAUAUUCAUUCAAUUUUAUCCACAAACACAUAUUUGAGUAUUUUUACACUUUGGCCCUAAACUUUCACAUUUUUUACAAUUUAGUCCCUAUUUCAUAAAUAUACAAAUUCACACAAUUCAAUUUAAACACAUGCUAGCCAAAUUUCAUAGGGACCUCUAGCAGCCCUAAACUUUCAUUUAUUCACACAUUUAACCCUACAUUUUCACAUUUUCACAAAUUAACCCAUUUUAUGCAAUUUCACCAAAAGUCACUUUACAAAACAUGAUAAUCUAUCAACAAAUACUCAUUUUUCAUCAUCAAAAAUUCAAGAACUCAAGCAUUUAUCAAUGAAAACUUUCAAAAUCAUGAACACUUUCAAAAAUUUAAGUAUGGACUAGCUAGAACACGAAGCAACGAUCACAAAAACAUAGAAAUCAUCAAAAAUCGAGCAAAAAUCACUCACCAAUUUGAGCUUAAAGUUGUCAAAACUUCAAAGCCCUAAAUUUGAUAUUCUUUCUUCUUAUUUUCGGUAAGAAAAGAUGAUAAUGAAGCCAAAUUAUUAUUUUUUUUAUUAAUUAUAACUUAAUUAUUAAUUUACCAUUUUAACCUUAAUUAAAAACCAUUAAAUUUCAUGAUAUUAAGCCCAUUUAUGUCCAUUCCCACUAUCCAUGGUCUAAUUACAACAUAAGGAAUUUUCAUUUAAUAAGCCAUGACAAUUAAGCACUUUUAACAAUUAGAAUGCAACUUUUUUAUUUUACGCGAUUUAGUCUUUUUUCUCAAAUUAAGCUAUUAAACGAUAAAAUUAGCUCACGAAAUUUUCACACAUAUAUAUUCACAUGCUGUAAACACCAAAAAUAAUAUAAAAUAAAUUUUCAACCUCAGAUUUAUGGUCCCGAAACCAUUGUUCCGAUUUAACUAAAACCGGAUUGUUACAUAAUCCUUUUUCUCAAAUUGAGCUAUUAAACGAUAAAAUUAACUCACGAAAUUUUCACACAUAUAUAUUCAUAUGCUGUAAACACCAGAAAUAAUAUUAAAAUAAUUUUAUGAUCUCAAUUUUUGGUUUCGAAACCAUAGUUCCGAUUUAGCUAAAACCGGGCUAUUACACGUGUGGAAUGGGUCAACCCAUGUGGCUCCUGUAGUUUGUUCCAAUUUUCUGGUUUUCAUUCGUUUUUCGCUCCUUUUGCUCCCAAGUGCUCUAUUAAGCAUCAAAACAUGAAUUCAAAGGAUUAGGAGCAUAAAAUUCACAAUCAACAUCAAAUAAUUACCCAAAAACGCAUUAAGAAUAAGGUUAAAACAUGUUACUUUUAACAUUCAUUAAAUAUCCCCACAGUUAAGCGCUUGCUUGUCUUUAAGAAAAAUUCUCAACCGGCAUUCAAGUUAACUGCCCUCAAUUUAUUAUUUUCACCAAUAAUGUAAUAGGAUAAUCUACAAAUAAUACUGCAUUGGAAAUUCACACUAAAAUAGCACUAAAGAAUACAAGCAAUCCAAGCAGAUUUUUUUAAGGCUUAAAAACAUUAGGCAUCUCCCCUAUCUCAAUAAUUACCUAGAAUUCAAACUCAACAAGAAAUAAUAUUAUCACUAAAGAUUCACUCAAAGCAUUCAAAGUGUUUAAGUUUUAAGUAAUAUGCACUCAAUAGUCGAACAAGAAAUGUUAUUACCAUAAGCUUGCUUGAAAAUCAAAUCUCCACCACUAUAUAAAUGAGAUGACACAUCAAUCAAGAGGUCGUUACAAGGUUGUAAUGGGGCUUAGGUUUAGAGUAUGGAUAAGGAUAGAAAAGUUGGUUACAAUCGAGAAUCGAGUUGAUAAGUUACCAAACUAGAAAAGAAAUUCAGUUGCUGAAUUAUAAGAAUUUACAUUAACAAUUCAACAAUUGAAAUGAUGAAGCAUAGUUAGGCAACUGACCAAAUCAAAUCUUGACAAAAAGGGAGUCAGUAAAAAUGAUAAUUUUACAACAUAUAUAUGGGUUAGGGGUUAACAUAAAUAGGUGAGAAAAAAAUGUGUUAGGAUCAACGAGGUUUACUAGAGGCUAAUUCAACAGGUAAGCUAGUUAAAUGUUAAGUGGGUUAAAUCCUACAUGCCUAAAUCAUCUCUGUAUAUCAAAUUAAUAAUGAGGUCUCAACAUGUAUAACUGAAGCAAGUUGUAGAAUAACAAAUUAAGUUGACAUACUCACAACUAAAAAUAAAAUGAGCACAAAAUAGAAUAUAUGCUCUAAAGCUCAAAAUCUUACAAAAAAAUUAUGGUUUUGAUGUCAAAUUUGUAAAUUUAAAAUUUCAAGAUAAUGCUUCAGUUCAAGAAGACAGCUUAAAAUAAUAAUUUCUAAAAAACUACUUAUCAUGCUUGAUUCUCUCGUGACUUCAAGUAUAAAUCACACAAUGCACAAAAAUACAUAAAUUAAUCCCAAAACAGAAUUGCUAAAAACUCCAAAUUUAGAAAAAUCAACUCUAAUGGUAGGUGUGAGAAAAUUACUUAAACCCAAACAACAAUUUAAGGACUAUAUCACAUAACAUAUAAAAUCCUCCCCACACUUAAGAUGUAUAUUACCCUCAAUGUACAGACAAAUAUAAUCACAGAAUAAACACAAUAUCAUAAGGGAGGGAAAGAACUAAAACUCCCCUGAAUUUGGAUGAUUUCGUUGGAAUAGUGAAAUUCAGAAUCGUAGGAGAUUUUAAAUGAACUACAUGUUCCAUGCACACUAAUAAUAAGAUAGAAAAAAAUAAGAUAAAGAGAUAACAAAAUAGAAAAAUAACCUACAAAAUAAUAAAAAUAAAGUUUAAAAUAAAAAUAAAACAAAACAUAUAAGUAUCAAAAAUAAAAUAAAAACAACUAAAAUAAUAAUAACAGUGUAACUAAAAAUAAAAAUAAAUAAAACUGAAAACUAAAUAAAGUCAAUGAUCAGUAUCGUGCGAGGUGUCAAGGUCACGAGGCUCAGAAUCAAGUGGAGAAAUAUGGAAAUGCUGGCACAUCCGUUGUAGGUAUGCUUCAAGGUGAUCAUGAUGGUUUUGAAGCUGGCUAAAUUGCUCCAAAUGUAACUGCUCGAGGCGAUCUAUCCGCUCUAUAUUUCAUUGCUCAAGGUGGUCAAUCCGAUCAGAGUGUUGUUGUUAUAUACGAUAGAUGUCGUUGAGUGUGAUCGAAUGUGCAACAGUGGAGUGACUAGAAGGAGGGGAGGAUUGAGUAGGGUUCGUAAGUUGAGGAGGACCAUCAUCCAUGAGCUUUUCAUGUUCAUCCUAAGGGUCCCGAUGAAACAGUGAAUAUUAGUGGGGACCCGCUCUGUGUUAACAUUGUAUCAUCCUCACGUGGCUCAUCAUAGAUAAUCCUUGGGGGAUCAUCUGUCCAAACAAGGUGAAUGAAGAAAUCUACUCUAGAAUGUCAAGUAACCCAAAGUACCUCGCCAGUCGAGUUACAUAAGGAUCUAUACAGAUAGGGCCCUUCUUGCUCCAAUCAGACUAGUGCCAACAACAUAGAGCCACGAAAUAAGAGACAACAAUAGGAUGACGCGUCUCUAUACUCUACAGAAAAUAAGCCUUCGAUGUACUAACAACCCCUGUGUUUUCCCUCCGACCAGUCAAUGUAUGGGCCUAAAUGACAUGAAUAUAGCACAAGGUUGGAGGUAAACAAGUCGCUUUUGACUGGCUCGAGUUGUACAGUACCUCAAUCUCGGCGAUCUCAAACCAACAGAAUAGAGCUGGUCAAUGGAUGUGUUUGGCAGUGUUGAAAACUCAGGGUUACGCAUGAACUCCUUGGAAUAAAUUCCAAGAGCGGCUCUGAAGCCUGGGAUGCUCAAAUAACGUGUCUUACCCCCAAGUUUGAAAGAAAUGGUAUAAGGCUUAUCUUAAUGUGAAAUUGUCAUGUAACGCCCCUAACCUGAAUCCAUCAUCGGAAUAGAGUUACGAAGCAUUACCGGCGUUACUGAUUUAUUUAUCAGAUAUUUUAUUUCAUCUAACGUACAUAUUUGGAACCAAUUAAAAUCAAACAUAUUGUCCCUUAAACGUACUUAUUUUUCUUGACAUGUUUUACUUGAAUUUAUUACUCGUCUCAAUAUACUUAAUUUCCUUGUAUCAACGUAUCAAAGAUAAUCACAUAUUUACAUGUCAUGAUAAAUAUCAUUCUCUUGCCAUUUCUUCAUAAACAUAAAUCAGGUAAUUCAUUAUAUCAAUAUUUCAUGCAUUUAAAAAUACAAUUCAAGUUACACUAACUUACCUUGUUACUUGUUCAUGUUUAUAACUUCAUUAAUCCGAUAUCUUUUCUUUUCCACGUUCAAGUUUCGUAUUCGAGUCAUCCGGAUCUUUAUAAAUAAAUUUGAUCGUCGUUUUCAUUUAUUUCAUGUUUUAAUACAUUCAAUUAAUGCUCUAAACAAAAUUACUAUUUUACCCUUAAACUUUUAAUUAAUGACGAUUUCAUUCUUAGGCUCAAAAUUUUUUUUUCUUGUAAUUUAAUCCUUAUUUCCAGCCUUAUUCGCAUACAAAUUGAUAACAACCCAUGAAUUCUAUAAAAUAUAAGAAUUUUACAUAAUUUCAACACUUUUCAAUUUAAUCCUUAAAACAUGUUUUUCCCUGAUCUUAAACUAAAUUAACAUGUUUUUCCCCGAUCUUGAACUAAAUUAAUAAUUUCAUUAUAUUUUUCAAUUUUAAAUAAUAAAAUAAUCCAUUUCAUGCAAAUUGGUCAUUUCUAACAUUUUUACAAAAUUGCCCAUAAAGUUUUACUUUUAUUCAAUUUAGUCCCUGAGCCUAAAACAUGCAAAUUAGUCAUGCUAGUUGAAUAUUCAUACAUAUUUUCCUCCUCCUCCUCCUCUCCAUUCCACAUCCUUAAUUUAUAUAACGUGCUAUAAAUAACAUUAUCAAUAAUUUCACUAUUUACUUAUAUAUAUUCAAAACUGUCCAUUUGAGUCAUAGUCACUAAAUAUUUAUAUCUUGAGCUACAGAACUCAAAAUUAAGAUAUGAUAAUUUUCCAUAAAAAUAGACUUACAUAUAUUCUUACCAUAAAAGUUUCAUAAUUUUUGGUUUAGCCAAUAAGUAUAGUUUAUUCUUUAAAGUCACCUCUAUUCUGCUGCCUGACAGUUUUGACCCUUCUUUACUGAAAAUAAAUUAUCUCCUCGUACAGGAUUCAAAUGAUGUUUCUGUUUGUUUCUAUUGAAAAUAGACUCAUUCAGGAUUCUAAACAUAUAAAUUUAAGCCCCUAAUUAUUUUUAUCAAAUUUUUUAUGAUUUUCAAAAGUUAGAACAGGGGAACCCGAAAUCAUUCUAACCUUGUCUCAUAAAAUUUAUUAUAUCUCACAAUUUACAAUUUCAUUGCUUACAUUGUUUCUUCUAUGAAAAACUAGACUCAGUAGCCUUUAAUUUCAAAUUUUAUUAAACUAUAAUUCAAUUUCUAAAAUUUUUGGUGAUUUUCCAAAGUUUGACUACUGCUGCUAUUUAAGACUAUUUUAGUGCAACAUAUUGAUUACCAAGUUUAUAACACCCUUAUUUCCAUUCUCUACCAUAUUUCCCAACAUUUUCUCUUAUUUCCCCUCACUAAUAUAUCAAGAGCGUAGAACCUUAUAUAAGAAAACUCUACCUUAACAUCAUUUUCAUGCUUUGAUAUUACCUUACAUGAGAAACUCUACUUAGAAUAUAUUGAAAUCUUAAAGUUCUUACCUUGUUCUAUUGAUUUCAAUCUUUAACUUGAUUUUUCUCUCUCCUCCAGCUUCUGUUUCUUAAAUCCAACUUGAUAUUCUAACUCCCCUUAGUCUUCUUAACUUUUUUCUCUCUUGGUAGCUAUGGAAAGUCUUUUGAUUUCUAGGUGAAAAUGGUGAAUUUUUGGUGGAAGGACUAAAUUGUAAAGAAAGGAAAGUUUCUUCUUCUCUUUUCUUUCGAACGUGGGAUGCAUGGAAAUGGAUGGUGUUGUUUCCUCUCUUCUUUUUUUUCUUUCCACACACACACAUAUACAUACUAAAUAAAAUAAUAAAAUAAUAAAAAAUAUCUUAUUAAAUAUUAAUAAAAUUAUGUUUUUUCUAAUUAAAUAAUUAUAAAAUAUCGUCAACAUCAUCAUUACUUUCUAGAUUUCUCUCUUUUCCAAUUGACCAUUUUUCCCUUUGUGAUCUUUUAAAAUUCCAUUAUUGAGUCAUUACUUAAUUUGGUAAAAUUAUAAUUUAGUCCCUCAUAAUUCUUCACCUAUUCAAUUUGGUCCUAAUUCAUCAAUUUUCCUUAGUUUCUAGAUCAUUCCACCCUUAAAAUAUUUACACUAUUAGUCCUGUAACUUUUUCGUAUUUACACUUUAAUCCCUCAAAUUUUGAGUAUUUCCUCUUAGGCCACAAAAAUUUUCUCACUUUUACAAUUUAGUCCUUUCUUGAAUCAAUAUGUCAUAAUAUACUUCCCAGUGACAUAACUCAAUUUUCCUCUUCUUGUCACUUUAUUUCCUUCUUUUACUGCAUUAAGGAUAAUAUCUUACUGUAGAAAUUUUCAAGGUGUUACACAUCAGUUGUAGAAAGAACGUCAAGCAGAACUCUAUUGUGAUUCUGCAUAUAUGGGCUCCACAAUGGUUAAAAAUCGAUCCCACGGUACCCUAUUGAUCAGAACUCGAAUUCCGAUAGCUAAAUGGACUGUCUACAAGGCUUUCUAAUCAAUGCAACGACCUAACCCCAAAGUCGCUCCCUAAGAUGUUGAUAAUGGUCCUCAUGUGGACUCGAAAGGAAUUGGAGACACGAAUGUCUCAUUGCUGUAGUCUAGGCUAAAGAUGAAGUGGCACUCGGUGUCUUUCAUUGUUUAGAGGUGAGGACAACAUUCUUGGUUUUACCUCUAGUGUUUGCCAUUAUGUAUCUUAAAUAAAAUAUAACAACCAAAUAUCAUAUAACCAAAUGAAUCAACACCACCACUAAUUUAGCAGAUAACAAAAGUUAGAUCAAAUAACUAGAAGAACUGACAAACAUAUCAUCUCAUGAUAAAAGCUGAAUCACAUAACUAAUAUAACUAACAUCUAAUCCUCAUACGAAAACGAAAACUAAUACUUAGCAGACAAAAAAAUAACUGAACUAAACUAAUUAUUUAACACUAAUAUUAGGAAUAUUAAUACUACUACUAAUAAUAAAAUAACAAAUAAUAAAUAAAACAAAAAGAAUAUGAACAGUGACAAACAGUGGUUUGGGCAGACGGCGGCGGUAAUAGCUCGUACGAUAGUAAUGGAAAGAACGAUAGAUGGUGAAAAAUGGGUAGAUUGGAUGGUGGUGGAUGUGUGUGAUGGGGUGAGAAUAGUGGUCAAUUAGGAGAGAUGAGGGACGGAGGAGGAAAGGAAAGAGGGAAAAUAAGGACGGCAUCGUGGAGAGGAGGAAUGGGAAAAAGGGAAGGAGAUGAGGGAUUUGACGAGUUUGUGAAGGAAAAGAGAAGGUUAAGUGAGUAGGAAAGGAGAAUGGUUGGGGAAGAAGGGUUGAGGAGACUAGAAAAUGGGGUGUCUAUAGUGUUCGAUUUUUAAACAAGAAAAAUUUAAAGAAAGGACAUGGAAGGAGAAAGCUUGAUAGCGUUGAGAGUAGGGCUUAGAAGAUGAAUGGAUGAGCUACGGAGGCGAUGUGGAUGACGGAUAUGGGGGAAGCAAUCAGCUGUGAUAGAACGACUGGUAGGGUUGAGUGGAAUUGGUAAAAUGAAGUGAAAGGAGAAAAGACAAAAAAUUAAGGUUUUUAGAUUUUAAAGGCAGGCACGGUCGUGUAUUUGGCCUAUGUUGGGCCACACAGUCAUGUCUUAAAACUGUGUAAGUAUACAAAGCCCAUGUGUCAAACGAAUUCUUUAAAAAGUAUUCACACAGCCUGGGACACGCUUGUGUGUCAAGGCUUUGGUUUAUUCCAAAUCAUGUGAUGCUUUCGUUCACUUCUCCCACAGUCAUGUACAUGGGCAUGUGGGUCACACAGCCAUGUCAGCAGGCUGUGUUUGUCACGAAUUUUUUAAAAAAAAAAUUCUUUAAUAGUCACAUGGCUGUGUCUCCAGGCCGUGUGCAAUCACUUAGGCCUUGUGAGGUAAUUGUUCGCUUCUCCCACAGCCAUGUCAAGGGGUCUAUGGGUCACAUGACUUUGUCUCUAGGCCUUGUAACCCUCUAUGACCCUGUGUGUUAAAAGAAAAUUGAACAAAUUGGCUCCAAUAUUCACACAGCUUGUGACACACUCGUGUAUCUAGGUCGUGUGUGUUAUACGACCGUGUCGUCAAGUUGUAUAGUUUUUCUCAGACUGUGUGGACCAUUUCUUUAAAAAAUAUUAUUUUUAAAUAUUUUCAUUUUUUUAAAUCAACAUUAGGGUUGUCUCUCGAGUAAGCUUGUUUAGAGUCUAAGCUCGAAUUUCCUUUUCACACAUACGAUAAAAUUAGAUUUUUGAGUCGAAGCUCAUUUAUCUCAUUAUCAAUAUUACCACCAAAAUAAAAUUCAAGUCGAUGACCAUUUACCUUAAAUGUAUCGUAAUCAAAGUGUAUUACCUAAAUAGUUUUGUAUGGGAAGACGUUCUACACCACAAAUGGAUUCGACCAUCUGAAUUUAAGUUGUUCAAGGAACAUUCUUAAAUCGAAAUUGUUUAGCAGCAAUUUAUCUCCAACUUUAAGUUGGUUCGUCCUCUUUGAAUGCACACCAAGGUGUUUCUUUGUCACUUCUUUGAACGUUCUUGGUUUCUCAUAAACCUUUGGUCGUCAUUCAUCUAAUUCAUCAAGUUGCACCAUUUGUUCUUCACUUGUCCCUUGAUUUUUAUCAUCUUGAACAAGAUACGAUUGUAACGUGUUUUCAUGGGUGAUUUUCUACAAAGAAUGUUGAGUCGCACGGUUACUAACAUUAUCAGAAUAAUGACUAUCAUCUUGCUUGCUAGAAACUCUCACAAAAUCAUGUGCUUGAAGAGUAACCUCUUCAUCACCUACCUUCAGCACAAGUUUACCAUUAUUCACAUCAAUAACAGUUUUACAAGUAGCUAAAAAGGGUCGACCUAAGAUCAUGGGUACCUUAAUAUCCUCAUCAAUGUCCUAUAUAAAAUCAACAUGAAUAUAAAUUUAUCGACUUUAGCAAUUACAUUUUUAAUAAUGCCUUUAGGAUACCUAAUUGAUUUGUCAACUAAUUAAAUACUCAUCUUAGUGGUUUUUGGUUCCCUGAGACCAAGUUGUUUGAACAUUUUACAAGGUAUCAAAUUUAUACUAGCACCCAAAUCAGCCAAAGCUUUUUUAACAUUUAAGCUACCAAUAAAACAAGGGAUAGUAAAACGCUUUGGAUAUUGAAGCUUGGUAUGUAGUUUUUUCUAGAGAAUAGUCAAAUACUCUUCAUUGAGCUCCACAGUGGACAGUUCGUCUAUUUUCCUUUUAUUUGUUAACAACACCUUUAAAAAUUUUGUAUACUUGGGCACCUACGAACGAGCUUUAACAAAAAGUAAGUUAACAUGCAUUUUUUAAAAAAAAAUUCAAGAAAUUUAACAUAUUGUUCGUUCAUGCAGUCUUUAUUCACUUUUGCUGGAUAUAGAAUUGGCGGUUUGUAUUCUCUAAUUACUGGUUUAUGCUCUUUUUUGUAUUCCUCAACCCCAUCAUUUUUCUCAACAGCUUCCAGAUUCAACUUCUUUUCAGGCUCGACUAACACCUUUCCACUUCGUACAGAGAUUGCAUAGACUUGUUCUUUUAUGUUGGUUUCAAUGUUACUAGGUAAAUUGCCUUAUUGUCUCUCCGAAACCAACUUAACAAGCUAACUAAUCUGAUUCUCGAGUCCUGAAUAGAUGCCUACUGAUUCCUUAAAGUUGUCUCGGUGUUUUAGAAUCUAGUUUCUGACACUAAAAUAAAUUUCAUUAACAUCUAUUCUAGAUUCAACUUUUUUUUUCUUUCUGAUAAGAUUGCUGAAAACCUAGAGGGAGUUGUAACAUUUGAUUUCUUUGACCACCUCAAGAGAAAUUCGUAUGAUUCCUCCAUCCUAUACUAUAAUUAUUAUAGGGGUUAUUCUAAGGUCUAAAAUUAUUACCCAUAAAGUCGACUUGUAAAUGCUCCAUAUUAGAAUAGAAGGGUACACAUUCUGAACUGAUCAUUUCCGCUCCAGUCGCAUCACAUUGCAGCACUGAAUUCAUUUGCUUAGCCAUACUCAAACCAUCAAUUUUCUUACUCAGAGCUUCCACUUGACUCGUUAACAUAGCAACUAUAUUAAAAACACCAGUUGCCUUAGUAGACUUUGUUCUCAUAACUUGCUACUGAUAGUUAUUCGUGCCAUCUCCUCAAUAAAUUCUUGGGCUACCUCAGGUGUCUUAUUAUUCAGUGUUCCACCAGCUGCUAUAUCAAUCAUAUGUCUAGUUGAGGGAUUCAAACCAUUGUAAAAAUUUUGAACUUGGAGCCACAAAGGUAGUCCAUGAUGAGAACACCUUCUCAAAAUAUCCUUAAAUCUCUCUCAUGCAUCAUACAAUGUCUCAAGCUCAAAUUGAGCAAAAGAAGAGAUGCCAUUCCUCAACUUAGCUUUUUGGUCGGUGGAAAAUACUUCUACAGAAACUUUUCAGUCAUCUAAUCCCAAGUUGUGAUGGAACCCCGUAUAAGUGAAUUCAAUCACUAUUUUGCCUUGCUACACAAAGAGAAUGGGAACAAUCAUAAAAGUAUGGCUUCAUCAGUAACAUCAUUGAUCUUGAAUAUGUCGCGGCUCUAGAAAGUUAGCUAAAUGAGCAUUUGGAUCUUCAUCUUGCAACGCAUCAAAUUGAACAUACUGUUGCACCAUUUGAAUUGUAUUUGGCUUAAUCUCAAAAUUAUUUACAGUAAUAGUCGGUCUAACGAUACUUGAUUUAACCCCAAUCAAAGUAGGCUUAGGAUAGUCAUACAUAGUACGAUGAGCAUGAGGUGCAGGAGGUUGCUGAUUACCAGGAUGAUUAUCCAUCUCCACAAUAAUGUCCUUUUGCUCUUAAUUGUCUAUUAAAAUCUACUGACCUUGCCUUGCUUCUCUAACUUUUAUAUGUUUUCUGCAAGUAGGUUUUUCAAUCUCAUUGUAAAAAACUAAUAGUUCCAAUGAGUUGUCUCUAGUCAUAAACCAAAAGAACCUGUAAGAAUUAAACAAAAUUAAAAUUAAAAUGUAACAGUUAAAUUUAAAACAAAAUUAUUAAAAUUAAAAUAACAAAUGACUAAAUUAAUAGAAAUAAAGUUUUCCUAAUAUUAUAGUCCCGGCAACAGCGCCAAAAACUUGAUGUCCACGAAACUAAUUAAAAAUUCAACUAAGGUAAGUGCACCUAUCAAUUAAUAGUAUAGCUACGAUAAGCAAAGAUAUCGUUCCCACAAAGACUAAAAGUACUAGUAAUUAAUAUUUUUUUAUUAUUUAACUGAAUAAUUCAAGUGAUUGAUUAAAAACUAAAAUUAACUAAAUUAAUUAACUAACAAACACAACAAAGAACAAAACACGAAAAUAAUCGAUUAACAACUAAUAAGAAAAAUAACACCCAAGAAAGAAUUCUCUUAGAUUUUAUUUGUUACUAUCAAUUUAAAUUAUGCAAUUUCUUUACUUAGUAACUUGAUCUGUAGAAAUCCCUAAAUUAUGCAAAUAUCUUUUUCGAGAAUGAGAGCAACAUUAACUGAAAUUUCUUUCAAAUUAAAAAUCCUAUUAUCGCAUUAACUCAUGCUAUGGAUUUCAUUAGAUUUGACUCUAAUUUGGUAGAUUUAUGUCAUCCUAUGUAUAAGAUUGCAUGCAACUCUACUUAAUUACGCAAGAUCUACUCUUAAAUAGGGUUUAUUCAACCUUCGAUUUAGCACAUCAAACAUAGAUAAAAAAGUUUAGGAAUAUCAAAUGACAGAAUCCAUCAUAAGGUUCAUCUCUCUAGGUAUUUAAAAAAUUAGUUCAUGCUUGAAAAUAAAAAUAUCCCAGAGAUAAUAUAACUGAAAGAAAUAAAGAAAGUCAUGAUAAUCUCCUGAGAAAUCAACUGAGAAUCAUCAAUUUUGACGAAAAUCUACUUCAGAAUCGGCUUCGAUGGUGUUUUUUCAAGUUGUUUUCUUGAAUAUUCUAUGAUAGAUCUCUCCAAAUUUCUUAUUUUUGUCAUAUAUACGUCUUACGAUGCCCAAAAAACCUAAAAAUCUUGAUUUUUCGCUGUUUACAGUGCAAAUUUAAGCAAUCGACACGGCCUGUCGAAUGGUCGUGUAGGUUACACGGUUAUGUGGAAUAGGUCAGCCCAUGUGGCUCUUGUAGUUUGCUCUGAUUUUUCAAUUUUCACUCCAUUUGCUCCCAAGUGCUCUAUUAAGCAUCAAAACAUGAAUUAAAAGCAUAAAAAUCACCUAAAAACGCAUUAAGAAUGAUGUUAAAACAUAUUAAUUUUAACACUCAUCAGUAUGACAUUAAUUUAUUUGUUUGUGUCUACUUAUGCAAAAUGGUGUGUGUUAAGUUAUUUUCAUGGCAAGCAAUUUGUCACGCACCCUAAAUUUGAAUAUGUGAAUGGUAGCUUAGAAAAGUUUCAAGUGGACUCUGAUUUAUUAUGCUACUGGGGUAUUAUAAACUAUGUGAAAGACUUAGGAUAUGAAUCUGAACCAUAUGUUUAUUACAGGUCCAAAAUGUUGCCUUUAAUGGGGAUAGGUUAGUCCUAAUACAUGAUGAAAACACUAUUAAGCAAAUAAUAUAUAUUUUGGAAAACAAAGGGUAAUGUAGACCUAUAUGUAGUAGGUCAAGGUAUUGAAAACUUUAAUGAGGGUGAGUUUGGUGUUGACGAAGGUUUAGUGGAUAUUGUUGGUGAGGGUGUUAUAGGUACCAUAGGAACUAAAAUUUGGGAAAAAGUUAAGACUAAGGGGAGAGAAAAUUCUAGGACUGAGGGUGAAGACGAUGUUGAUAGUAAGGUAGGGAAUAUGAUGAUGCAUUCUUAUUCAACAUGGAGAUAAUGAUGUAGAUGAAGAAGUUGAGAAAAUUAAAACUAGGUAGAGAAGCCAAAAAAAAAGGGAAGAACAUGGGCUAAUGAAGCGUUAAAAUAAUAGUUUGAGAAAGAUGGUGAGGGAGAUAAUGAGGUUUUCGAUGGACAUAUACUUGUGGGGGAUGAUUUCAUAGUAGAAGAUGAGAUAGAAGAAAAUAAGGGAAAAGUUGAGGGGAAUAAAAGUAAAUAUAUAGAUUCAUCUAAGCUAGAAGAUUAUGAGGACAGUGAGUUUUUUGAUGAUGGGAUUAGCAUAUCUUACUUGGGUGAAAAAAUUGUUGGUCCUAGGUAUGAUCCUAAUUUUUUAUCCCAUUGUGGGAGAUAUAAAUUAGGUUUGAAGAUAACCAACAGUUUAAAGAGGUGCUAAAAAAAUAAUCCUUUGCAAAAGGAGUAAUAUUAAGGUUUAUUAAGAAUGAACCCAAAAGAACAAGGGUAAGUUGUAGAGAUGGUUGCCCCUGGAAACUUUCGGCUAGCUUUGACCAUAGAGAGAAUUGUUUCAUUAUGAAAACUUACAACCCUACACAUAAAUUAUUCUGAAGCAAUAAGAAUCCAUUACUGUCUUAUAAGCAUAUACAGAAGACUUUUAAGGAUAGAAUAAUUGUUGAGCCAAAGAUGAGAGUGGUAAAUUUGAAGGAGAUGUGUAAAACUGAAUUAGGACUUUAUGCUAGCUAUAGUAUAUGCCAAAGAUCUAGGAGAAAAUUUCUUAGGGAAAUGAGAGGGUCAUACCUAGAAGAGUAUGCAAAUCUGUAAGGGUAUGUUGUUGACUACUAAUAAGUAAUCUUAGGAGCACAACUUUAAUCCAAGUCCAUAGAAAUCAAGAAGUUAAAGCUGUGUUCCAUAAUAUUUAUGUGUGUUUCAAAGCAUUGAAAAAAGGGUGGAAAACUGGUUAUAAGUUUUUUAUUGGAAUUGAUGGAUGUUUCCUUAAAAGUGUAUGUAAAUGAGAGAUGUUAGUGGUUGUUGGCAGAGAUGCUAACAAUAAAAUAUAUCUAUUGGCUUAGGCAGUGAUGGAAGGGGAAAAUGCCUCCUCGUGGAAAUGGUUUUUGGAGAAGUUAUUUACAAAUUUUUGUCAUCCAAUAGGUGUUGAAUUAACAUUGAUGUCAACUUAACAAAAGGUAAAUUAUUAAUAUAAAUAUUUUCAUUCUAUUUAUUGUUUUAAUAUACACAUUUUACACUAAUUGUAUGACUAACAAUUUGAAUUUUAUGAUUGUUACAGGGAUUGAUUAGUGUACUAAAUGAGUGUUUUCUAGACUUGGAGCAUAGAAUGUGUGCCAGGCACACCUAUGCCAAUUGGUAGAAGGGUUGAAUAAAAAGAUGCAAUUUUGGAAUUGUGUCAAGUCAACUUUUGUUAAGGACUUUGAUGAUCAGUUACAAAAAUUAAAAGCAAUGGGUGAGACAUCCACUCAUCAAUUAUUAGAGAUCCCUGCGCAUCGCUAGGAAGAAUAUGAUGCAGUAGACAAUAAUAUUGUCAAGGCAUUUAAUGCAUGGAUACUUGAUGCAAUGUGCAAACCUAUCAUUACCAUGCUUGAAGAAAUCAAAGUGAUGGUGAUGACUAGGAUGCAUGUGAAGAGAACUUGGGCAGAAAAGUGGAGAACUAACAUUUCUCCUGUUGUAUUGAAAAAGUUAGGAAAGAAUGCUACAACCUUAACUAAAUGUAAGCUUGCAUGUAAUGGUGAUGGAGGGUUUGAAGUGAUCCAUGAAGACAACCAACACACAGCUGACUUGAAAGAGUUGAAAUGCAUUUGCAGAAAGUGGGUGCUUAUAGGGAUUCCUUAUUGCCAUGUUGUAUGUGCCAUGUACCAUAACGAGAAGAAUUUAGAAGCCUAUGUCUCACCAUGGUACAACAAUGAGCAAUAUGUAGCAGCAUACAGUCAAGUUUUACAAUCAAUUGGGGGAAAGUUUUUGGCUCAAGAAAGCUGAUUCAAUUCUUCCUCCACCUGUAAAAAAGAUUCUUGGAAGGCCUAAGAAAAAUAGAAGGAAAACUAAAGAUGAACCAAAAAAGAACAAGUUUGGAAAGGACACUAGGAGAGGAUUUAAAAUGUCAUGUUCUUUGUGUAAACAAGUAAGACACAACAAGAAAUUGUGUCCAACAAGAUCAAAUAUGAGUAAGAAUUUACAAGUAAUUCGCGGACCACUUUAUUUGAGAUAAGCUUUUCUUUAUUUUCAUAUUUGUUUAACCAAUAAAUACAUUAUAAUGAAUGUCUUACUUUCUUUCUAGGAACAAAAUUUGAAUGUUGGUUCAUCCUUUAUGCAAGUACAACAACCUCAAUUAGAAGCUACUAUGCAACAGGUAAAAGAUACAUUAAUGUAGUAUGGUGUAAUAUCUACUUGGUUGACUAUUUGAGAAUUUUGAUUGUUUAGUUUUGAUAAUUGCUCAUAAAUUUUGUUCUCUGUUGGUAGAUUCAACCAUUUCACUAGGCAAUUUGAGUGGUCUAAUUUCUUCUUUGUCUUUUGGUUUAAAUAAUUUAGUUUAAAGAAUUAUACGGGAUUCUAGAAAUAUCAUUUGGUUUAAGAUAAAUAGAUUGAGAAAUCAACUCUAUUUCUUGUUGUACUCUUUCAUUUCUAAUCAUAUUUAGCAUAUUACGUGCUACCUUGUCAAUUAGCUUGAUUUCUUUUUUGUUUCAAGCUGUAACUAUUUCUUUUUUAUACUUUGCUGGCAAACAUCUAAGAACUCACAACAUGGAAGGAAAAGAAAAAGAAUCAGGUUUAUCAAUUUUUCAAUAUGUCACCAAGGCAGAAGGCACAAAAGAAGAAGAAGAAGAAAACAACCAUUUAGUGUUGGGAUGUACACAAACCUCAAAACUGGUGAACAAAUACUAUAUGUGAGUAUAUGUAACAAUUCUAAAUAUUGAUUUUGUUACCUUUUGACUAAGUAAUUUAUAUCUAUUGAUUUAAUUGCUUUCUAUUUUUCCCUAAAACCUGGUACAAGCAGUGAAAGAACCACUACUAUUGUAAGGAAGAUUGGACAAUCUGAUACUUCCCAAUAUCAACAUUCACGGAAAGGCCCUAGAUUGAAGUGGAAGGGGAAAAAGGCUGUGACAAUAAGGCAAAUUAUGCAACAACACUUUGAUGUUGUCCAAAAGAAGAGGGGAAAUCCUUCUAAACAAGUGCAGAUAAGGACACAAGCAAGCCAAAGAAAUUCUAUUAUAAUAGAUGAUUGAAGUGCAAAUUGAUGCUAGCUUAAUUUUAGUUUCUCUGAUAGUAUAGUUUAUGGUUGACAAGGGACAAGAUUGGUACAUUUUGUUCAUAUGGGAACCAUUUGUUGAUAAGAGAACAUCUUGUUUACAUUGGAACAUUUUGUUGAUAAGAUGCAUUUUGAGGAUAUUGCAUAUUCAAAUUUACUUUUUAUGUAAUUUUUUGACGUUUUGUUUCUUUAUUGUUUGUUAUUGAAUUAUGGUUUAAUUGAUAUUUAAAAUUCAUACGGAAUUGCAAUUAAAUAUUGUUUGCAUUUGAAGAUGGAAUCUUGUAGUUUUGGGGUUAGAGUUGCUAUUUUUUUUCUUUGGUUCAAUUCAUUACAAAAAUUAUAAUUAAAUUUUAUUGUAAAUAAAAUUAAUUAAAUUAAUUUAGUUAUAAUGAUAAAUAAAAAAAGUCAAACUUAAUAGACACAUCAUCUUGACCGUUAAAAAUUAUUGGUCAACGUCAGUCAAGGGUUAUUUUACUGAGUUUUGACGGUUCAAGUACUCAAUUGAGUGAAAAAUAAAAGACUUCAAUUUUUUUUUUAAUUCAAGAACUUUCUUCUUUCUUAAGCCAUAAAAACUAAUCACUAUAUUAUAUUAAAAUAAAAUUAUACUUUCUAUAAAAAGAAAGUUAAAGAUUUUAAUUAUUCAAUAAAUUGUAAUACACAAUAAUAUUAAUUAUGAGGAAGGUUAGAGAGACGGCAAAAACAAUUAGCCAUGAAGAAACCAUAAUAAACUUAAACAAAUUUAAAUAAAUAAAUAAAAUAAAAAUAUGUAAAUAAAUAAAUAAAAUUAAAAAUACAACUUCCUAAAAAAAUAAAAAUAAAAUUUGAAUCUAAAAUGAAAGCUAAUAAUAUUGCAAAAACUAUUUAACAUUCCCAAUCUUGAUAUUCUUUAAUAUAUCUUCCUCCACAUUAUCUUCUUUUGUUUGAGAUCCUUAUUGUUUAAUAAUGCAAUUAAUCACAUUUUGAUUCAUAUUGCUUCAUUCAACUUCACAAGAAAAAAAUAUUGUUAAUUUCAAAUUAAAAAAAUAUUAUUAAAUAUAUAACACAAUUAAUUGCAUUUUGACUCUUGUUCCUUUAUUCAAAACUUCACAAGAAAAGAAAAUAUUAUUAAAUAUCAAAUAAUAAAAUAAUCAAAAUUAAAAUAAUAAAAUUGGAUAUAUAAGAUAAUAAUAAUUUUUAUAAGAAAACAAAAUCUAUUUGUAAAAAUAGAAUGCCGAUAAUGGUAAGAAAAGAGAGAAAAAUAGAACAUAACGAUUUUAUGUGGAAACUCUUUUGGAAAAAAAACCACGAGCAGAGGAGAAGAAAAUUCACUAUGUAUGUCGAAUUCGAAUAAUACAAGAGGAGAGAUGACUACGUCUAUUUAUAAGUUUGUAAAACCAUAUUCUAAUCAAAGCCAAAUAGAAGUAAUGCAGUAAAGUUAAAAUACCUUAUUCUAAUCAACAGUAAUUAGAGGAAGUGUACUUCUAUACGGAUUUCACUUGUCCGCCUUACCCUUAUAGAUCCUCUAUCUUGUCACUUGUAUUUUUAUUAAACAAGAAUUUGGGUCACAUAUCUUUAACACUAUCAAAUAACAAUAAAAACUUAUAUAUAUAUAUAUAUAUAUAUAUGUAAAUGUUACUUUUUUUUUAUAAAUACAAAUGUAUAGAACUAUUUAUAGUCCCUCCCCACCCUAUAAUAGGAAGAUAAAUGCGUUUCAGCACGCUCAAACACAUAUCCUCCUGCAUAAACAAUAAUAUUAAUGUCGAUCGAGUUAAGACUUAGUCGGUUCUAAAUGUUAUUUUGAAUGAAAAUGUUUUGUUAAUUCAACUAUUAUAUCAUAUCAUAUAGUUUAUAUUAUAUUAUACCACAUUAUAUUAUUAUAUGGAAAAAUAUUUAGUAUAUUAUUAAUAGAGUUUUUAAACUUCUCAAAUGUGAUUAAGGAAUUAAUAAGUAUACUAUAAAAAUAUAAUAAAUAAAUAAUUAAACGAAUUCAUAAAUUUUAAUAGUUGGAUAAGAAACACUUAAUUAUAAUGAUGUGACUCACAAUGUAAUUUGUGGCUAAAAAGACAAGAGCAGGCCGUACUUUAGCUUCAAGCAAUCACCACCAGACGCACGCCACAGACGUAAGGAAUGGCAUAUACUACUCGCUCUAUGGAAGGUCCUAGAAUUAUUAUUAUCCUUGUAAUAAUUAUUAAAGAUUGUUGUCAAUAAAGCGUCCAAUAUCGAAUAAUAAAUAAAUAAAUAAAGCAUCCAACGUUAGAACAUGAAAUGGACGUACUACCUGUAAUUAUUCAUAUUAUAUGUUUACUAUAAAGUAACUACCGGAAGUAAACAAAGAGCUAGAAAUAAAUCUUGAAACUUUUAUAAUAAUAAAAAUAUAAUUUUAUUAUUUUAAUAUUUUAUAUAUUUAUAAUUUUUGAAAGAUUAAAAUAAAUUUUUAUUAUUUUUAAAGAGUUAAAAUAUAAUUUUAUAAUUAUUAAUUUAAAAUAUUAUAAAUUUCAUUUAAAAUAUUAAAAAUCUAAAUAAAAAAAACUUCAUUGAGAACUGGAUUCCUUACUAACCUCAUUGAAUUCGUCACUAACAUAAACCUAAUCUAACCAAACCCACCCUAAUAAAACUUAUAAAUAAACCUAGACUGAAAUCACAUAAUUUAGAGUUUUUGAGAUACAUAUUAUUUUUCUUUUAUUGAUUGAUUUCCAAUAUAUAUAUACUACUUAUUAAUUAUUUUAUUGAAUUAAUUUCACUCAUCAACUGAGUUAAAAGAAAUUACUCAAAAAUAUUUUUAUUUACAAAAUAAAUUAUAUAACUAUGAAAAUAUUUUUUAUCUUUUUAUAAAUAAAUAAAACAUUAUCCGUAGUAAAAUUUGAACCAAAAGACACUAUGCAUAUUAAACUUUUUUAUUUAUCAUUUAAACUAAACCUAUUUUUUAGUUUUCAUUUGAAACUUCUAUAAAUAUAUUUAUAAUUCUAAAAUUAUAUAUAUAUGAAUAAUGUUAUUGAUUAAACUAGUGUCAUCAAUAAUUUCACAUAUAUAAGCCGUGUGAUAAAAUUUUUAAUUUGUAUAAAUUUAUGAUAUAAUUAAUAAUACAGUCAACCAAACUCCAAUUUAUAUAAAAAAAUUAUUAAAAUAUAUUACACAAUACAAUGUAUUAUUAUAAAAAUAUUUUUAUUUUUUUACCUUUUAUUUAAAAAUUUGAUUUAAUUCGUGAUUCAAUGAAUUUAAACAUUAAAUUUUACUAAAAAAAAUUCCACUCCCUUUUCAAUAAAUAUAGUAUUAAAUAAUUUUCUUUCACCUAAACCAUAUUUUGAUCAUUAUUUAGGUUAGUUAGGUAAAAAAAUCUUCUCAAAUUUUUUCAAAUUUUAAAUUUAAUAAAUUGGUUUCUUUAAAAAAAUUAGAGUAAUUUAAUAUUUUUUAAUUUUAAAAAUAAGCAAUUAAGGAUAAUUAAUUAUAAUUUUAAAUUUUUUAUUAAUUGUACAUUAUUUUGAUUAGUAUAAUAAUACAUUUAGCCUUCAAAGUUUAUAUAUUCUAUCUAUUUGGUCUUAAUUUAAUAAAUUUAUUUAUGUUGAGGCUAAAUUAUGUUAAACUUUUUAAAAUUAAGGCCAAAAUGAUAAAAUAUGUAAAUAUUAAAGAUUAUAUUUAUUGUUAUAUUAAUCAAAAUUAUGUAUAAUUAAAAAAGAUAUGAAUUUCAUGAUUAAUUAUUUUAAUUUCUCAUUUUUAAAAUAAAUAAAGAUGAGUUACUUCAAAACAUUGAAGUCACAGAAAAAUUGAAUAAAAGAAAUAUCAUAGAAAAACCUACCAACCCUCCUAUAAAUAUACUCUGACACCCCCUUCAGAAUCAGAGAAAAAAAAGUAAAAUCCAAAAGAAACCCAAGAUUAUAAAUUUAGUAUCGAUUUGAGUAUUUGAAUAGUUUAGAUUACAAGAAUGGCAGGGGAAUUAGUAUUGUUGGAUUUCUGGCCAAGUCCAUUUGGGAUGAGAUCCAGGAUUGCUUUGGCUGAGAAAGGGAUACCAUACGAGUACAGAGAAGAAGAUUUGAGGAACAAGAGUGAUUUGUUGCUGCAGAUGAACCCUGUUCACAAGAAAAUCCCUGUUCUUAUCCAUAAUGGUAAACCCGUUUGUGAGUCUGUCAUUCAGGUUCAGUAUAUUGAUGAGGUCUGGCAUGAUAAAGCUCCUUUGAUCCCUUCUGAUCCUUAUCAAAGAGCUGUUGCCAGAUUCUGGGUUGAUUUCGUUGACAAGAAGGUGCUUUCUUUUACUCGUUUAAGUCUCUACGUUUCUGCUAUGAUUGUUCAAUGGGCUGACUUGAUUUUAGAUUAUGUUUUGAUUUAGUUUCCAUUUUGGGGAGGGGGGUGGUUCUGGGCUGCAAAUAGGACGGCAACAGAGUGGCAGGAAUUGCUUAAUCUAUAGGAUUUUAUUAUACCAUUACUAUAUAGGUUAAACUCAACCCUUCUCUUAUGAUUGAAACAUUUGGGAUAAGUGAAGGAAAUCUAAUGGACUCAAAUUGAGAUGAACAGUAUUUUUUCAAUAAGUGAUAUUGGGUUACACUAACACAACUAUAGAGAUACUUCAAUUUUUCAUUUGUUCUGAAUGUGUAAGUUGAACUUAACCAAUUUAGAAAGCUUGAUUUUAUUGGUUUCAAAUGUUAUGCUUACAGCUCAUCCACAACUAAGUCCAUUAUUUUAAUAUUCUAGAUGAUAUUGGCUUGCUUACUCACUUUCAACCUAUUCUAGUUGCAAUUAUUGCAACUUUUUCACUAUCCACAACUAGAUCUAAUUAUCAAUGAUGAUAAUUUAUGACCAUGAUUACUGUUUGAAUUCUUUAGCUAUGCAGGGAGAACAAAAACAUUUUCUUGAUGUUCUAUGAUUAUUCAUAUUCAUGUCAUUAUAUGUUUUUCAUGUUGAGGGAGAGAUGAAACUAAAAAUAAAUGUGGAAAUUAUUACUGACUGAAUAGAACUCUAAUUCUCCAAUAUUGUAAUGUGAAGUGCAGAUAUAUGACCUGGGGAGCAAAAUAUGGAAGACAAAGGGAGAAGAACAAGCAAAUGCAAAGAAAGAAUUUAUUGAGUGCCUGAAGCUGUUGGAAGGAGAGCUUGGAGACAAGACUUACUUUGGAGGAGAAAGUCUUGGAUAUGUGGAUGUUGCAUUAGUUCCAUUUUAUACCUGGUUUUAUGCUUAUGAGAAGUGUGGGGACUUCAGCAUUGAAGCAGAGUGUCCCAAGAUGAUUGCUUGGGUUAAAAGGUGCAUGCAAAAGGAGAGUGUAGCCAAGAGUCUUCCUGACCAAGAAAAAGUCU
RNAcentral lists this long non-coding RNA (49324 nucleotides) under Gossypium barbadense (sea-island cotton). RNAcentral's name for it is "long non-coding RNA (GBAR_LNC012885)". The stretch from base 38368 to 38474 matches the Rfam family "Plant small nucleolar RNA R71". Lineage: Eukaryota; Viridiplantae; Streptophyta; Magnoliopsida; Malvales; Malvaceae. The record is from RNAcentral.